AAGCUUGUGAAGUAUUAUACAAGAUUCUAGAAAAAUCCAAGCCAUUUGAUGAACCCAAAAAUAAUUAUUCAUGGGACAAGUACAAUUCAUUCCUCUAUUUGUCCCGGAUUCGGUAUCUUUUUUUGUGAUGCAUCCAUGGAACCUAUGAAAAUCUACAAGUGCUCAUUCUUGAUACACAUGUUAGUCCCAAUGACUAUGUUGUCACUCAAUCACCAAACUCACAAACUAUGGCUUAAUGGGGCCAUGUUCCCUACAAUCUUCCCAUUUUUGGUGAUUGAUGACAACACAAUUAAAGCAAGCAUAAUUUUGCAAAAAUUGACCAAUUGAACCACUUACACUUGCUUGGAUGCUUACCAUUGUCCAACCUCCCCCUCUGAACAUCUUUAUAUGACUCUCCCUUGAUGUACUUGUCCCUUUUUUUCUUGUAUUUCUCGUCCUAUGUAUGUUCACACAUAGGUUCUUGCACUGGCUCUUGCUUUGAUUCCACAUUUCUCCCCCUUUGGAAUUAAAUUGCUAAAAAGGCAAUCUCUUCCAUUUGUAAGCCUCCAUGACCUUGCAAAUAUAGCUCAAAGGAAAACAUUAGUAGCCUAGGGAGAUAGCUUCAUGAACCAUGAUCCACAUGUGAUGGUACCAAUGAAGAUACCACUUAAAAAUGACUAGGAUGGAUCCAUAAUUCAUGAAACUAGCAUGACAUUAGCGAGCUCCCCCUAUGUGUGUGCACAACAUGAUGGUGUGAAAAACAUGUGCACAACUAAACGACAUGAAAUACUAGGACAAAUGAUUUGACAAGAAUACCACUUGGAAGAUUAAGCAAUGCAUACCUCCGGGGGAUAUCUCUUACCUUGAUGGCACCACUUGAGAUGAGCCACUUGAAAAUGAUAUCACUUGAAGAUGACACCACUUGAAAGAGGAUAACAAGAGAAACACAUGAGGUACCACAAGGAUAAGGAAUGUAUGAGUGCAUUGCCUUUGCACUUAUAUAUGAGAUGUAAGCUCGCAAGGAUAUGACUCAAUAAGCAUGAAUGCUCAUAUUGCUAUAGUCACUCUUAUAGAGUUGUUAAUUCAUAAUGAGAGUGAAAUAGCAUUCUCUUAGUGUGAUGCACUGGAUCGGGAACGCACCAUUAAGAGACUACACAAGAUAAGCUUGUAAAAAAGUUAGUAUCAAAAUCACAAACCAUAGGAUAAGCUCCCCCUAAAUGUUUGCAUUUAGUAUUUGAAUCACCAACCAAGAGUAUGAAUAUUGUUUUUGACAACAAAAGGGAAGCUAACCCUAUAGGAUGUGCUCAUGAUACAAAAGAUACUAAGUGAAAAAGCAUGUAUCAUGAAAGAACCAGAUAUAUCAAACCAUGUAGGUUGCUCAUGGGUUAGAGAGAUACACAAGAAACCUACCAUAUCAAAAUAACUAGGCAUUGCAAUAUAUAUCAUAUGAGAACACAAUGCAAUCAGACAUGGCAAUGGAGCUACAAUGAUGCUUGAAUUGGGUUCUAGCUACCAUUACCUUUGGAUGGGGGACUUGAGCAUAUAUGUUCAAUGUUGUGAGCUUGGCUUUUUAGACUUGAACCUUUAUUUUCUUGUGAGCCAAGCCUCCAAAUCCCCCCUAGCCGAUCAUGGGCUUCAUGUGUCUUUUGGAACCCAAACCAUUUGAGGCCCUUUCAUGUUGGUGAUCACUUUCUUGGGAACCCAAAUGGGUCAGUUCCAACCCCACUCCUUCUACAUCUUCCCAACCUUAUGUGCAAUCACCUUGCCAUUGGUCUUCUUCUUUAUGACGUAGGUGUUGCUCUUGGCCUUAUUCUUGCGGUUGGUCUUGGUGUAGAUGAUAGAGCUCUUGAUGGUGAAGUUCAUCUUUUUUUCUCAUCUUUUCUCAUCUUCUUCACUUGAGAGCAUUGGUAGGACUUGUGGCCUUCUUUAUGACAAUUGAAGAAAGUCACGGUUGCUCCCUUCUCAAGCUUCUUCACCAUGUAAUCAUGGUUAUCUUGAGAAGGUUGGACAUUGCACUUCUUGUCUUGAGAGGCUUGUACAUUGUCCGCCUUGUCCUUGCCCUUCAACUUGGCCAAUUUUCCCAUGAGCCAUUGCACUUCUUGCUUGAGCUCAUCAUUCUCCUUGGCAAUGAGAUCAUCACAUGGUUCUACAACAAUAUUCUCAAAGUAUUUCUCAUUGCAAGAUAGUGAGCAAGAUUCAUCAAGUAAAUCAAUGCAAAAAGUUGAAACAUCUACCUUAGAUAUAGGAAUUGCACAAAAGAUAGAUGAUUCAUCUAGCUCCAAGGAAUCCUUAGUUUCAUUUUCAGUGCUCUCAAUUUUAGAUUUGAGCUCGUCAUGCUCCUUACUAAGCAAGUUAAAUUUGCACAACAAAUUUUCAUAAUUUGUAGCAAAGGUAGCGUUAACAUCAUUGAGAGCAUUGAGUUCUUUUAUUUGCUUAGAUUGUUUCUUAAUGAGCCUUUUUGCUCAUGGAUUAGCUCAAGAAGAUCAUCAAUAGAAGGAGAAUCAGAUUCAUCAUCACUUACAUUUCUUUCCAUAUCUCGGGCCAUAAGGCAAAAAUGUGAUGAUGAUGAUGAUGAGGGACCUUGCAUGAAGCAAGUGGUGAAGUUCUUGCUUGAUUUAUUACUGGAGCUACAAGAACUUGAUUCUUCACUGCUUAUCCAUUCACGGACGAUGGUGAGUGCUUCUUACUUGGGCUUCCUCUCCUCCUUUUUCUUGUGCUUGAUCUUCAUGAUCUUCAUUUGUUGAUGAUGACGUCCUUCUCUCAAGUGGACAUUGUAGUCGUACAUGUUGAUCUCCUUCACGUAUUUGAAGACCUUCUUGGCGUACACAAUUACCAAGAACUUGGUUUCUUCAUCACUUGAGGAGCUUUCACCAUCAUCAUCAUCUUCUUCUUCUUCACUUGAGCUUCCAUGAAUUGCCGUCUUCCUCAACUUCUUCUCUUGUUGACUUGAAAGAGCAAGGCUUUGAGUUGGAGAAGAUGGUUUUUUGGGCUUAUCCUCGAGUUGCAUCUUGGGCUUGUCCAUUAGCCGAAACUCAAAUGCCAUGAUCUUGUUUAGAAUUUGAUUUGAAGUCAACUCAUCGAGCUUCAUUUCAAAGAGAAUUGCCUUCACCAAAUCAUAAUCCGGCUUCCGAAGGCUAUGAAGGAUUUUGCGAUUGAGUUCUGCAUCCUUGAUAUUCUUCACACAUAAAGCAUUGAUCUCAUUCAUAAGAACAUUUAAGCGUGAGUACAUAGCCUCGAGAUUCUCAUUAUCAAGUUGCUUAAAGUUAUUAAGCUUAUCAAUGAGAACAUCGUAUCUUUCAUUAGAUACGUCCUUUGAGCCCUCAUUGUUCUCUUUGAUAGUCAUCCAUAGCUUGUUAACAUUUUCACAAGUAAGUACAUGAUUGAAAAUACUUUCACUAAGUGAGGACAAGAUAAUGUUCUUGGCAAUCACAUCAUAUUGUUUUUCUUAUUUCCCUUUAUUUUUCAUGCCCUCACUAGUGACUCUCCAAACAUUUAGCCUCUUAGCUUGGAAAAAUACUUCCGUGAGAACUUUCCAACAUGGAUAGCUCAUGCCAUCGAAAGUUCUCACAUCUUCCGUGAGUCUGAUUUUGAUGAUCUUGGACUCUAUGGAAAGCUUAUGAAAGAAAAAAAUCCAAGCCAUUUGAUCAACCUAAAAAUAAUUAUUCAUGGGACAAGUCCAAUUCAUUCCUUUCUUUGUCUUGGCUUUAGUAUCUUUCUUUGUGAUGCAUCCAUGGAACCUAUGAAAUCCUACAAGUGCUCAUUCUUGAUACACAUGUUAGUCCCAAUGACUAUGUUGUCACUCAAUCACCAAAAUCACAAACUAUGGUUUAAUGGGGCUAUAUUUCCUACACAUAAACAAAAUUCAGCGAGGUACGAGGUUAUUAUCUAAGCUGGUUUUCCUAUCUUUCUAUUUAACUUGGAAGCAACAACUAUUUUGACUCGAUUGAAGUAACUGCUUGACCCAUAUGAACUACAAAAUGAAGUACCGUUUGGAAUCAACAUCAGAUGAUCGAGCCUUCUCGCUCCCCCAAAGCCUUUCGGAUCUUGCGACAUACGUGGCCAUCAGCUUUAGGUCAAGAACAAAUGUUUUUUACGAGUGGCAACUAAAAGAUUCCAACGCGGUCAUUUAGCGUUGCUUGAAAUGCGAGAUGAUCCAAAUCCCAACCCGAAACGAGAAUGGACGGGGUGGCUUUGAAAAGAGACUAAGGGGUGUUUGGAUAUUAGGUGCUAAAUUUUAACAGUGUCACAUCAGAUGUUCGGAUGCUAAUUAGAAGGACUAAACAUGAGCUAAUUAUAAACUAAUUGCAGAACCCCGAGCUAAUUCGUGAGACGAAUCUAUUAAGCCUAAUUAAUCCAUCUUUAGCAAAUGGUUACUGUAGCACCAUAUUGUCAAAUCAUAGACUAAUUAGGCUUAAUAGAUUCGUCUCGUGAAUUAGACUCCAUGUGUGCAAUUAGUUUUAUAAUUAGCCUAUAUUUAAUACUCCUAAUUAGUAUCAAAUAUCCGAUGUGACAGGUGCUAAACUUUAGCAGGUGGAAUCAAACACCCCUAAAGUAACUAUGCCAUGUACGUGUUGGUGCAUUGGACCUUUGCUCGUUCUUCUGGUGAAGAAGAGACGGGAUCAACUGUCAAGUUGACAAGACUACACCCUAUGGCGUGGGCAAAAGAUCGGUUGGUUGACAGUUUGCGCGUAUUUGCAAGGAAGCAGAGACAGAAACAACCUCCGCGGGAUGUGGGCAAAAGAAGAUAAGGUCAGGUGGAAAGACCGUGGAAAUCGAAGCAGCAGUGUGCUGGGCACGGUACUGUGUCAUGAACCUCAUACAAGCAGAAGGUUCUGGCCUCUCUGGGGGCCGUGCUGCGAAACGAACGUGCACAGAGUUGAUGGAAGCUUCCAUGGUCGUAGGGCACGCUAGUACCCGUAUGGUCUUUGAUCCACUGCAGUCUGCAGAUUAUGGGACCCAGGAGCUUAGCAGGAUUUUCUUGGAUUUUGAUCUUUGCUUUGCUAUAUUCCAUGGCAGGCUAAUUCUGCCGCUCAUGCGAGCGCGGCAAUUAUAAGAUUAGAAUCAUUUGGUUAAUAACAAACAGCACUGAGAUAUUGCUUGUUUUAAUGGCGUAGCAGGUCAAACAAAAAACACAUAAAUAUAGCUCUCUGGAGGCUAAAAUAUAAGGGGAUCAAAGAAGAACUAUUGCUGCUGCUUAGGUUAGCGCUACAGUACUUCAGACUAUGAAGCACCCCAAGAUGCGCGCGCGCACCUUCACCAAACCCACCACCGACGAAGACCACGCGGUGCCACCGCACGUGCCGCACCCGGCCCACUGCUAGGCGCACAGUCCACGCGGCACGGCACAACCACCGAGAACACCGGCCUCCGCGCGACCGCGCCAUUGCAUUCCUCAUCGCCAUGCGCCCAUGCCCCACUUUUUCGACUGUAUUUUGUUUGGCUCAACGCAACCCCUUUCGGUUGCAGGAGCACAGUCAGCCCAUGCAGUCCAGCGCAGACGAUGCACGGUCGAGCACGAAGCACGCAUUUCAAUUGGCUCCCCUGCUAAAGUGUAGCACUUAUCCUAUAGAAUAUUUGAUACUAAUCAGGAGUAUUAAAUAUAGAUUAAUUAUAAAAUUAAUUGCACAGAUGGAAUCUAAUUCGGAAGAUAAAUCUAUUAAGCCUAAUUAGUUCAUGAUUUGACAAUGUGGUGCUACAGUAACCAUUUGCUAAUGAUGGAUUAAUUAAGUUUAAUGGAUUCGUCUCGCGAAUUAGUUCAGGGGUUUUGCAAUUAGUUUUAUAAUUAGCUUCUGUUUAGCACUAGUUUGCUCUAGUUUGCUCUAAAGUUCGAGAGCAUUAAAAUCCGAGCAUCCAAUGUGAGACUGAUAAAGUUUAGCACUAGUUUGCUCUAGUUUGCUCUAAAGUCCGAGAGCAUCAGGUGCCUUUUCUUUUCGCAUUAGUGAACACCGACAAGCGACAAGCUACCUGUAUACCCUCACCUCGAACAUGGGUAUACUCCGAUUCAAGGCGACGCCAACUAAUUUUCAGCCCGUUUUUACUGAAUUCUUUUUGCCACCAGACCUGUUCACGAGCAGCCUGGCUUGAAAGUUGAGAGCGUAGCUUUAGGCCUUUCGAAAUCCGAAGAGAAGCGGAGCCUGGUUCGGGCCGGGGUGCCGACUGCCGACCAUCUCUUCCAGCCGGACAUGGUGUUCCAAUCCAACAGGUUUUGCUUAAUUCAUCAUUAAAAAAAGAAAUGCUGGUUCUUUCCUUUCCUUUCUUAUUUUCUUAUUUUCCCUUUUUUUGUCAGAGGUGCUUGCAUAACGCACGUCUGUAAAGCGUGAGUUGGUUCGAUGCCUUUAUCUCCAAAGAAAAUUAUAAUGAUACAAUAAAAGGAGUUGCUUUCUGCCCCUGCUCCAAUCAAGCUGCAGCAUGUGCAAACUUAUUCUUUAUUUCCGAGCAAAUAGCGUUGGGCCUUUUGUUCAAUUGAUGGUUAGAUAGAAGUGUCAUUAUAUGUCAUCAAAUUAGUUUUUUUUCCUUUUCUUUUGAGAAACAUCAUCAAAUCAGAUGAAGAGAAAUGAUGACAAAACAAGGCCCAAAACGAAUUGUGCGUUGGGCUGUUCAUGGCAGCUCAGUAUGAGUAAGUCUUACAAUUUGGGCCCAGUAUUUGCACAAUCUGCUUUUGCUUUAGCUCACUGUUUAGGCUUUGUUUGACAUGGCUCCAACUCUAGGUGGAGCUGCUCCACUCCAGAACUCCAGGUGGAGCCAGCUCUGGGUAGAGUUGGAGCUGUCUAACGGAGGUGUUUGGCUGGGAGGGUGUCCGUAGCUCCAGAAAAGAGGAGUUUGAGGGUAGAUUGCCAUUCUUGCCCCUGGUUCGAAUAAAUACAGUGUUCUUUAGACAAAAUGAACGACUUGAACUACUUCUCACAAAUAUGAAAUGAAAAUACAUGCAGUAAAGUCCAAAAUAAUUAAUAAUACAUUCCAAGCCAAGUCAUCUCAAGUCAUUGAACAUCAGUGUCGUUGUCAAGAUUAGCGGGUAAGACUUAGACUAGUAAAUUUCUUUUAUACGCGUAAGGCUUCGGAUGGUAACGUGGGAGACACGGGGUUUAGACUGGUUCGGGCAAGGGAACGCCCUACGUCCAGUAUCGGGAGCUGCUCGUGUUGCCCACGCGGGGUUCUGUAAUAGGGGUCACAGGAGUGCGAGAGAGGGAACCGGUCCCAAGUCUCUUGGAUGUGCCCUGACGCUCUAGUAGGGGCGCUCGUGCGUUCUGUUGUCUAGGGAGCGUUAUGGUGUCUUGAGUUGUGCGUUCAGUCUCCUCCUGUCUUAGACCCCCGGUUCCUCUUUUAUAGUGUAAGGAGGCCACCGGAGUUACAUGUGAGACCAAGCGUGGGGAGCGGUAAAAAGAUAAGCAUGGCUAGGUAAAAAGAACAAUGCGAGGGGGGAGCGAGUUCCCAGGUCGCCGGCGUCCUUGCCGGCCUUCGGCUCCUACCGGCGCGUUUGCCAGAAGAGGGUGUGGCGGAACCGCCCAACUUAAGCUGGUUUAAGUGCGCCUAAUCGCCGUUGGAAUGGCAAUUAUCCGAAACGCACCUAAAACAGCAUAAGUCCGGUAGUCCGUCGAGUGUCCCUGGGACUCCUCGAAGAAUCCACGGCGUGUCUCAUUACCAUACAUCAGGAUAAUAUCCGCGAUGGGAUAAUAUCAACAAACAUUACAUUUUUACAUACAUAGUUAAGAGGUACGAGUUAUUACAAGACAUAAGUUGAGGUAAACUUAGUGAUGCAGCGUUAGACAAACUCUAAGAUUAAACAUAAAUAGUUCAGGAGAAGAUGUGUCGAUAAAUGUUUUCUAGAGUAUUGGUGAGACUCAGGUCAAUACUCUAGGUCUUCGGGGUCUCCUCCUCGGUAGUCUCCUGUGGAGCUUCUGAAAGAUAACCACAAGGGGAAAACUCUGAGUACGGGGUACUCAGCAAGUCUUACCCGACUAACCAAUAUAAUAGUUUUUCUUUGGAAUGCAUGUCAGCUUUUGGGUGUGCUUGGUUGACACAAUUUUUCCGAAAAAGCUUACUACGAGUGAGGCCUUAGUUUUAUCUUUUAUUUUAGUUAAGUCGUUACCUAAUCAUUCUAGAUGAUAACAAAAGUAAAACAAUCAUAGCUGUUAAAUCAUACAGUACUUGGCAACAGGAGAUUUUAUAUCACAUGAGUUUAUACUACGAUGCUCAACAGUGAUCAAGUGCAUUCAUAACCGAGAAUUGCGGCGAUCCGGAUCUAAUUACAUCCUGCAGGAGAGUACCCCGAUCACCAGCAUUAUACGACUGUCCAGGUCGUACUAACAACCUCUCGAUUAGUAAAGUCAAUGAUUAGGAAUACAACUACCCGGACCCAGGGAUGCACCCCCACAUGGGACCCCACGUCUGGCCUGAUCUCCAUGUGAGUUUCAGGCUACACCCCUGCCAAUCUCCAGCACGUCAAGCGCGGGUACGAAGCAUUCCUGAUCAUAGAAUUUACUAACCUACUGGGCUUUACUGGUCCCAUACCCAGUAAGUGAUCAGAUGUUUAUCACUUGAUCAGCGGUUAAGACACGAAUCGGGCCUUAACCAGAUUAAUCUAGCAGACAGAACUACAUCUCUAGCUUCUGUCUGUUUUUAUAUUCCAGACUAUCCUUCAUAAGCAACAUGUAUGACUUAAGAGUUUUCCUUAAGGUUGGUAAACCAAUCAUGUAAGCAAGUAAGCAAUUCUAGACUUGGGUAGUUUCUAGGAUUCGAACAAGUGGCAAAGAUGUCCUUAAAUCAAGGCAGGAUCAUACACAAACAUAGGUUUCAUUCAACUCCUAGACUUAGUGCAUGCAAUAAACAAAUAACCUAUAACUAGUCACAUGAAAUAACGACUCCAAAAUAGAUAGGUAUAAAUGCACCGGGGCUUGCCUUGAUCGUUAAAAAGAUUAGUAGAAGCCGACGAAUUUGCUUCACAGGGAACAAAUUCAAACACUUCGUCGGACUCCAAGGGUCCUUCUGAAAAUUCCCAGUAAUCCUCUUCUGGUGCUUCUAGAUCUACGGCACAACAUAUGCAGGGGUUAGAAUGCAAACUUUUUAAAUAACAGACUAUACAACUUUCCUUCAUGAUAAAGUUGCAAGCCAAUAAGGACUAUACGACUUAUCAUGAUAAAGUUGUAAGUCGACACACAAAAAUCUAAAAAGAUUAACCUAUAUUUUUAUUUUUCUCAUUUAACCCUUCCUAUAGCUUUUUCUUUUAAUUUUAGAAAAAAGUGGUAAAUAUCUUCUAACUUGCAAAUCUAAUUUCUUAUGGGUUAAGAAUUAUUUGUGAUUGAUAAAGCAUUAUUCAUAUUUUAUACAUUUUAUAAAUAUUAAGUAUUUAUUUAAUUACCUUAAAAGGAAGGCAUUAAAUAAAUACCCAAAUUUUUAUUAUUUUCCUAGGGUGUAAAAAUUUUAAUGCAUAAAGGAAAAUAAAAUAAGCCUAACAAAAUUGGUUUCACUAAUUUUGGACACUCCUACAAAUUUAUGUGAUUAAAAUGGUGUAAAACGAAUUUAAACGGAUUAAAAUACUAAAGGAAACCUAAUUUUUCCCGAAAAUCACCCGAGAAACUUUUCUUACUCACCCACGCUUUACCCUCUCCCACAAACCACUGGACCCCACGGCGCGGACCCCACCUUCCUAUUCCUUUCUACCCGCCGGCCCUAUCCCUCUCCCCGACGGGCUCCGUGGGCCGGUUUCUCCUUUCUUCUUUACUUUGCAACCCAGUAGCAGCCCACUGACCUACUCUUUCUUUUUCUUCUUUUCCCGCGGGCCGGCCUGCUACUGCUCUGGGCCUCCGGCCUCUUCUCCUUUUCCUGGCCGACUCGCGCGCUAACUCCCUAGGCCUCCGCGACGCUGGCCCGUGAACGGCUCCGGCCUCCUUUUCUUUUUUGGCCGAACUGCGCGCGCGUUACUGGGCCUUAUGACCGCGGCCCAGCAACCGGCUGCACCGCUUCGGCCUUCUGCUCCUCCCCCCUUCUCUCUGUCGCGCGGGCCCGAGCGCCCAGGCUCUUCUCCUUCCUCCCGCCAAAAGCGUCCGUGACAGGGGGCGACGCGGCUCGCCGGCUGGCGCCCUCCCGGCGGCGGAACUAGGUUGCGACCCCAACCUUAGACCUACACGACCUCGUGCGCGGCAACAGCUCCCCGGGAGAUGGCCGGAGCCAUCCCCUCCACGGCGACGGGCGGCGACUCCCUCGACCGGCCGUGGCUACUCGCGACUACGGCAUAUCCAACUCAAACAACUAACUCUACCCCAUCCUAGGACCCUAAGGACUUAACUACGACUACUCAAGAAGGAAGAAAGGCAGCGCAAGGUGGUUCUCACCGUGAGCGGGCGGCGCGACGGCGGCGGACAGAAGCGGCGGUGAGCCCGGCUAUCCCGGCAAGGAUGUGGGACAACGACUGGCUCAGGGUGUAGCUGGGGUGUCUGUGGAGGAGUGGGCAAGAGGAAUCGACGGAAGACGAGUUGUGGCGGCGGAAUUUUGCUUGGCGGUGAAGCUUGACAGAGGGGAGCGGGCGGCGGUAAAAAGGGGAGGCAGAGAAACGGUGGCGCGGGAACAGUAAACAUUCAAGGGUUUCACCGCGCGCAUGGCUGCCACCGUGGUCUACCCCUAGGCUUGCGUGGUGAGGAGGUGGCCUAGCUAGUCGUGCUGGCGGACGACCGACGACGGCGGCGGCGACACGUCUGGGUGCUCUGUCACCGCUCCUCCCGCCCGUGAUCUUCAGAGCCAAGUCGUGGUUGAUCUUUGAUCCAACGGCACACCGAUGCUCAAAGAAAGUUACAGAUAAACUCGAAUUCUCCAUCUUUUGUUUUGGCUCCAUCCCGAGAUAAUCAUCAAACCAGUGGAAAUUUGGAGAUGUUGCUCGAGUUGGUUCUGAAAUCGACUGAAUCAAAGGUUCAGUUCGUCAGUUAUCGACAGUAGUGUCGAUCUCACUUGUCAAUCCAAUUCAGUGGCCUAAACCUUGUUUUUCCAAUCCAACUUCUACCCAAACAUGUUCUACUAUGUCCCAAUGUUCCAUUUUGCUCAUGAACAAUUACCUUUCUUGAUCUACUUUGCUCUGAAUUUGAGCUCCAAGUCAAUGCCUGGCUGUCAUUCAGACUUAGCAAAAAUUCAGAGUUUCAGUCAACUUAUGGUUUUGUGCUGACUUUGGGCUGGAAUUUGACUCCCUUCCUGUUACUGAUCCUGGCCAACAAUACCCAGAUCUUGUAGUCCAAAGUUCACAUUUCAAUAUGGUAUAGUUGUCCUGAUGCAUUUAUUUGGAAUUUUCUCCAGAAAUCAAUUUCCAAAAUAGACUCUAAAACUGUUUUUCUGGAACUCUAUUUUCGGACGAUGAACAGUACACGUCCCUUUUCUUUUCCUUUCUCUGAUUCUUUUGAGAUAAUUUGCACUGAUUUGGUUCCAACUUUUUGAUCCCUUGAUUCUAAAUACUCUUAUACUUGUAUUCCACAUAUUUGACAAAUUUUGCUGAAUUUCAAAUUUGAAAUUCAAAUUUUGGUCAAAAUUUGGCCGAAUUUGAUCUUUUUGCCAAUUGUUUUUCUUUUUCUUUUGGAUUUCUUUCCAAUUUCCCAUAGUUACUUUGAUAUUGCAAAUGGCAACUAUUACAGAGGGUGGCCGCCGCUACUUCCUGUCGAUGGCUUCCUCGGCGACUGUAGCCGCCGGACGUGAUGAUGGCGUUUCGUCGUGACCCCCGUGUCCGUUGGGGGAGGCGGCGGAUAUUGCCGUCGUGCUGAUGGCCUGCGGAGAGCGGACGUUGCAUCUCUGCCGCCGGGCGCGUGGGGCACGAGGACGGGUGAGGCUUCCUCCUGCCUUGGGCGGUGCAGACCAUGAGUGCCCAAUGGCCAAUCGGAGAGGGUCGCAGCUACUGUAGCAAGUACUGUGCGGCUGCGCAUGGGUACUUGCAACGGGUUACGUGGGGGCGUGGAGAUCCUUCUUUCUGACAGCUUUGCGGUGCAUUUAUGGUUGAAUUGACAGGGGGACCCACGAGAUCCGCGCCCAAGGCGGAUACUUGUCUAGUGGGCCUGGGUCAGCCCGACCUCCUAUGCUUGGGGUCGGGCAAAGCGGAGGCCUGCGGCGGGAGGUCGGACGCUCCCGACCCCGGACCUGCGGUCGGGCGAGGCGGAGCUUGGUCUCACGGGGGUCGGGGAUGCCUGACCCCAGGAUACCGGGCCGGGCAAGGCAAAGCGCGAUUUUCGUCGCCGUGUUGGGCCGACGGCAGUCGUUAUUCCCUUAGGCGGGCCUAGGCCUUCGUGUCUUUGUUGUUUCCAUGGGCUUCGAAGAGUCAUUAAUAUUUCCCCCCGACAGUAGCUCCCGAGCCUGUGCUGGAGCGGGGAUGCUCCUCCAGAGGCUGUUGUCAUCGCUCGCGAGGAGUCUUCACGUUGAUCCAGGACGGGAGGUGUCGCUUGCACGUUUUGACUGAGGGGGCUGACCAGGAAACGUGUUUUUGUGAGCGACCCGGAGUGGGGGGAUUCCUGGUCGUUCCCUUCUGUCUGAGAGUCUUUAAGUCGAGGCCACCCGUGUGGCCUUUGGUGCGAGGCCAGCCCUCGAGCCCUCGCGCGUUGCAGGGAACCGGUCGGGAGACUGGGUCGACUUUUGUACGUUACCCCUCAAGCGUUCGUUCGCUGGGACGGAGGGGAUGAGCCGUGCCACGCUAUCCUUGUUGGACGAACCGUGGUGCUCAUUGAGCUACUGACGGGCAAGUUCGAGUGGGGUCGCGGUCCCCGUUCGGGGGGGUUCGGCUUGGGCCAAGCUGGUGGCGUACCCCAGGCUCCGAUCGGCCAGUUCAUAUAGUUCCCGAAUCGGUUCGGUUGGAUCCGGGGGCUCGUUGCCUUUCUUUAGGGAAAAACCAUGAACUUUGAUGCCGGUUCAGACUCGAACGUGAGAUUGAGACGCCCUGGGCUAUUGCGUGCCUGGGUGAUGGUCACUUGCAGGCCCGUCUCCUCUCACCCCUCACUCGGGGGCAUCCUGGAGCGGUUGUCGAACCCAUGGUGGGCCAACCUUCGAACUCCUGGAUCGUAAUGGGCUGUAGGGGCGUUUUCAGCCCCGUAUCCCUUUCUUACCUUUUGGUGGGCCUUGGGCCGGACAUGGAGGGAGGCCACGUCUUGGUUCGGACGUGGAGGGUGCAGCACCUUGGGCCGGACGUGGGGGACGUUGUGCGUGCAUCCUUGGGAAGUGAAGCAGUGGAGGGCGCCGACCUGUGAAUCGAGGGAGGAGGGGAUGUUCCUGCUACCGGUCGUGCGCACGGUUUUCGAAAAAGAAGCGGGCGUGGCGGAGUGUACCUGGCGCCGCAUUUAUGGUGACGGGGGCGUCUGUUCUGCUUCUCCCACGCUUUCCCUAUAAAAUGAAAGUUUCACCUCGCUGGUUCCGCUCGCCGUCUGCCUUCAAGCUUUUUCACUUCCUCUCGCGCCCUUAGCUUUCCUGCGUCCGCUUCAUCUUCUUCCGCCCAGCGCCGCACCCUUUCUCCCCAUCCCCCGUUGAGCUCCUCUCCUUCCGGCGAUGGGAUCCUGGGCGAUUUCCCACUUCAGCCUCUCGCGCACCGAAGGCCUAACGAGGAAGGGCCUCCUCUGCGAGAGGACGGAGGCGGGUGAGUGGGAGCUUCCGGGAGCAGAGCAGGCGCCGGCGCCGCCUGCCGGCUAUAUUGUCUCCUUCGCCCACUUCCAGAGAGGGGGUUCGCGACUCCGCCGAGCCUCUUCUUCCGCGGGCUCCUGCACUAUUAUGGGCUUGAGCUGCAGCAUCUCAACCCCAACAGGAUCCAGCACAUUGCGACAUUCGUCGCGCGGUGCGAGGGGUUCCUGGGCAUCGAGCCCAACUUCUCGCUGUGGAAGUAUUUUUUCACGGUCAGCCUGUACCAGAAGGCGGAGAAGAAGGGGAGCCAGCAGCGGUCGCCCCCGGUGCCGAUAGAGUGCACCGGAAUCCACCUCCGCCACACCCGCACCAAGGAGUACAUGGUGAUGAAGACCGCGGCGUCCCACAAGGGGUGGCACCAGCAGUGGUUCUACGUGAAGAACUACUCGAACUCCGCCCUACCGGAGUUCACUGGCCGCACUAUCGAGGCGGCGCCGGAGGUGUGGGCGUACGACCCGAUCGACAAGGAGAAGAAGCGGAUCCAUGGCCUGCUGCAGGCGAUCGAGCACCUGAAGGGGAGGGGGUUGACCGGCGCCGGGGUCAUCGGGGCGUACCACGCCCGGCGGGUGGUGUCGCUGAUGCUCCGGGUCCGCUCGCUCGGCGACAUGACUCCGGGCGCGCCGACCGAGGGCACCGUCCUUGCGAUGGGUGCGCUCGCCACCUCCGAGAUCCGGUAGCGGAUUCGGGAGGUGCUGGAGGAUAAGGACGCUGACUACCCAGUCCCCAGGCACCCUACGAUGCGCCCGGACGAGAACUUCAUCGACCUGGUAAAGAUCUUGUGUGCAAACCUUCUUUUUUCGUGUUUCCUGGUUCGCUGCUCUGACGCGGGGCUCUUUUGCGCUUGUAGGGUAGCCUAACCCGGGUCGUGGACUUGCGCCUGCUGGUGCCGGAGGACGCCGAGCGGUGGCUGCAGAACCGUCUCCUUGAUGAGAGGCAGAAGCGCCGCAAGGACAAGGAGAUGGCGAAGAAGAAGAAGAGGGCCGCCAAGGAGUUCCAGCAACGGCGACAAGGAUAGGUCGUGUCAGACGACGACGAUGACGACAACGACGUUGACGACGACGAGGAGGAAGAGGAGGAGGAUGACGAGGAGGAGGAGGAGCUCACCCUCUCCCCACGGUCGGGUGCACUCGUUAUUCGGGAGACGCGCUCCCAAACGGCCGCGAGGGAUGAAGCGGGCGGACCGUCCGCCCGGGACUUGGUCCCGCAAAGCUCUGGGGCCGUGCCCCAGGGGUCGGCACGGAGCGCCCCGCAGGGGUCGACGCGGAGCGUCCCCCGGGGGUGUAUGGAGCCCACCCCCAUCCCUAUGCCGGCAUCCCAGGCGCAGAGGAGCAGCGACAAGCGGCCGCUGCCGGACGCCCCGGGGUCGGCGUCCGGCUUGGAGGCGAAGCGCGCACGCCGUCCUUGUGCUGGGGCAACGUAAGUUGAAUUUCCUUGCAAACCUCGUUCCUUUCCAUGCAUUGUAUUCGUUUUCGCUGAUGUUUGUUGAUUGUUUUUGAAGCGCCGCCCCUCAAGGUCUCGUCCCGCAGCUGGCGCCGAAGAAGGCACUGCGGGUGUUGUCCGCCCCUACGGGGCGCACCGCUGCCCCGCCCGCGGUGAGCGGCAGGGUCCCUGGUGAGGUCGCGGGUUGCACCGCGGAGGUGGCCCCCGUGGCAGCGACCGGUUGAGUGGUGCCGCCACCGGGCACGGGAGGGGGUGAGGACCCCGCUCCACCUUCCACUUCUUUGGCUGACCCCGCGGUGCAGAGUAUCUUUCCCAGGGGCCCUAAGGCCGGGGAGGUGAUCGACCUUGACACCGAUGAGGCGGAGGAACGGCGGCGGGGGAGACGGGGACUGAUGUCCUAGCGGCCACGAUGGGGAUGGCGGCGGCAAAGGAGGAAGAAGAGCCUGCCCCCGCGGCCACGGCGGGGACAGCGGCAGCGGGGGAAACUGGGACACCUGCCCCGGCGGCUGCGAUAGAGGAGGCGGUGGCGAUGGAGACGGGGACGUCCGCCCGGGGAGCCUCAGCGGAGGUGGCAUCGGCGGUGGAGGCGGAGGUGCCUGCUCUAGAGGCCUCGACGGGGGCGGGGACGCCUGUCCCGACGGAGGACGAGGCGGCCACAGGGAUGCUCGCUCCGGCGCCCGCGUCGGAGGUGGUGGCGCCACUUGGCAGGCCCGCGACGGCCUCGACGGAAGCAGGGGGGUGUGCCCCGGGACCGUGGGUGAGCUCGGCGGCUUCCGGGAUGGUUGAGCCUGUGUUGACGGCGGUGUCGAGGUCGGCUUCCGCCUCUACCUCGGCCACUCCCGUUCCCAGGGCGUGGACGGGGUCCGUCUUGCGUUGGUCGUCCCGUGACGACCCACAGAGGCCCCUCUUCACAUGUGAUGAUGCCACGGAAUGGGGCAAGUGGCAGGCGAUGUAGGGCGGCCUCGCUAACGCCCGCGUAGCUCUGUCCUCGGCGUUGGGGCAGUUGGACGGCGUCGUCCUCCCUGGUGGCCAGAGAUGGUACCUUCUGCAUUGGUGGCUAUGUCCUCCCCCUCGUUUUACCCCUGAUGUCGUAUUGUUUUGUAGGCUCUCCAAGAAUGCAGUCGGGGAAAAUCCGAUUACCUUCGGCUGGAGCGGGGGCUCUGGGAGUGCUUAAACUUGGAGAGACAGCGGACCGGGGAGCUAUCCAUGCAAGUUGCGGCCGCCCAGCAGGUCAUCGAUGAUCUGCGGAGGUACGAGCAGGCGGCGUAGGAGGAUGUGCGGCGGGUGGAGGCCAAGCUCCAGGUCAUCGCCGAGAGGGCCCGCUGCGACCGCGAGGAGUUCCAGGCCGCUGCCGAAAAGGCCCGCCACAACGUCGAGGAGCUCACAUGGCUGAAGGGGGAGCAUGAAGCCCUUUAAAAGACCGUCGAGCGCAAAAGGCUUGGCAGGACCGGGACGCCGAGAAGGUCCGGAAGGAGGAGGCCGAGAAGGCGGCGGCCGACCUUGGGGUGGAGGUCGGUCAGCUUCAAGCGCAAGGGCGGGAGCUUCAGGGCCUCCGUGGCCCAGGGGCUCGACCGGGAGCGCCAGCUGAAGGCCCAGUCCGAGGGUAAGACUCUGUUCAUUUCCUUGUCUUUGUGAUGUUGCGGUGAUUUUCGAUUUAGCGGGUUCUUUUGGGUGAUCCUUGCAGGCGAGCUCACCCGGCUGAGGGAGGUGUUCGACGCGGAGCGCACUGAGCAUGGCAACCUGCGGGAUGCUGUUCGCGUCGUCUGUGACAGCCUCAACGUGGUCCAGGAGGAGGGGACGAGCUCGCUGGCGACUCAUGUCCUUGGGACCUACUGCCGAGCCUGCGGGAUCACCCUGGAGGCGCUCCACACCGGCGUGAGGCGAGCCUUCGGGGUCUUCGGCUCCCACUACUCCGGCAUUAACUUCGUCGAGAUGAGCGGGGGGUACGCCGCCGGCUACUCCGAGGCUGAGCUGGACAAGAUUGACGCGUCAGUGCUCAACCCGGCGGAGGCUUUGGCGAAGCUCCUGGAGGACGAAGCCGUCCCUCCCAAAGAUCCUCGGUCGAGUUAACUGUAUCGGGCUGUGCCGAAGAUGUAAAUACGUUAGUUUCAGACUCGUUUUGUAAUGGCCAUAGAGGCUUUUCUAAAAAUUGUCGUGAGAAAGUUUUCGAUCCUCUUUCUUGUUUUUCAGACUUGGAAAGUUUAGAGCACGUCGUUGGUUGUGUCAGUAAGCUUUGGUGAGCGAGGGCACCGUAGCUGCUGGGGCGUAGGUAUUUUCAUAGUCCGAUCAAUCUUGCCUGAACACCGUCCAUGUGCUUUUUCCUUUUCAUGCCCAAAAGUUCAGAAAGAGGGUCGGCUCGGAAAGAAAAAAGCGUUUUGAGAGGGUGUCAAGGGGCCUAGGCCGGAGCCCCUGAUAGCCCCCGAGGGAUAUGCGACCCUGAGGCAGAGCCAGGGUCGGAUAUCCCUGAGUUCGAACUGAAACUUGAAUGGGACCGACUCAAAAUUCUUUUUUCCGUAAAAAUUUUUAAAUGUACAGAAAUGUCUAUGUAUAGAACUUGGAAGUGAAAUCUAGGGGUAGAAACGCCUUAGUUGUUCUAUGUUCCAAGCGUUGCUGAAGACUUGUCCAUCAGGGGUCGCCAGCUUGUAGGUGCCUGGCCGCAGUACCUGCGUGACAAUGAAGGGACCUUCCCAUGGAGGGGUCUGCUUGUGCCGACCCCUGUUAUCCUGGAUGAGACGGAGCACCAGGUCGCCAACGUUGAAGGCUCGGCCUUGCACCUUGCGGCUGUGGUAGCGUCGUAAGGCCUGUUGGUACUUGGCCGAGUGCAGCAGGGCCACAUCGCGCGCCUCAUCGAGCUGAUCUUGUGCGUCUUCGAGCGAUGCCUGGUUCCCUUGUUCGUCAAAUGCCUUGACCCUCGACGAUCCGUACUCCAAGUCGGUGGGCAGGAUGGCCUCAGACCCGUAGACCAUGAAGAACGGGGUGAAGCCAGUCGCACGACUGGGGGUUGUCCUCAGACUCCAAAGGACUGCGGGGAGGUCCGCGACCCACCGUCUGCCGAACUUUUUGAGGCGGUCGAAGAUCCGUGGCUUGAGACCCUGGAGUAUCAUGCCGUUGGCUCGUUCGACCUGCCCAUUCGUCCGGGGAUGUGCCAUGGCCGACCAGUCCACUCGGAUGUGGUGGUCGUCGCAGAACUGGAGGAACUUCUUUCCGGUUAACUGUGUGCCGUUGUCCAUGAUGAUGGAGUUGGGGAUCCUGAAGCGAUGGAUGAUGUUGGUGAAGAAUUGUACCACCUGCUCGGACUUGAUCUGCGCAACCGGUCAUGCUUCGAUCCACUUGGAGAACUUGUCGACGGCGACAAGCAGGUGGGUGAAGUCCCCGAGCGCUUUCUUAAAGGGCCCAACGAGAUCCAGCCCCCAGACCGUGAAGGGCCACUUGAUGGGGAUGGUCUAGAGUGCCUGCGCGGGCAGAUGGGUUUGGCGCGCGAAGAACUGGCACCCUUUGUAGGUGCGAACCACGUGGGUGGCAUCGGCGAUCGCUGUCGGCCAGUAGAAACCUUGCCGGAAGGCGUGGCCCACGAGGGUUCUUGGCGCGGCGUGAUGGCCGCAGGCUCUGGCGUGGAUGUCCUGAAUUAGCGCCUUUCCCUACUCGAUCGGGAUGCAGCGCUGGAGGAUGCCGGUGUGGCUUCUCUUGUAGAGCUCUUGGUCGAUAAUGACGGAGGAUUUGGCGCGACGCGCAAUCCUGCGUGCCUCCGUUUUGUUCGCCGGGAGCAUGUCACGGGCGAGGUAGUCGAGGUACGGGGCUCUCCAAUCGGGCAGGGGGUCGGCCCCCGCUGCGGGGUCUGCCACGAUUUCCAUGACCGUGGGGUCGGCGGGGUCGAGUUCCGAGUCUGAGACAGGUGGCGCGUUGCCGACCUCUCCUGGGUCGGGGCCCAAAUCCGGAGCUGGUGGCGCGUCGCCGACCCUCUCCGGUUCUUGGCAACGGACUGAGGGUUUGAACUGGUCGCUGACGAAGACACCGUCGGGCACCGGCUUUCGGCCGGACGCUGCCUUUGCCAGCUCGUCGGCUGCCUCGUUGAAACGCCUUGCGACAUCGUUGAGCUCCAUCCCGUCGAACUUGUCUUCAAGCUUGCGAACUUCGUUGCAGUAGGCUGCCAUCUUGGGGUCGUGGCAGCUCCACUCCUUCAUGACUUGUUUGACGACUAGCUGAGAGUCGCCCCGGACGUCUAGCCGAUGGAUGCCCAGCUCGAUGGCGAUGCGAAGCCAUUGAGGAGGACCUCAUACUCGGUGACAUUAUUGGACGCAGGGAAGUGGAGGCGGAUCAUGUACCUGAUGCGCACGCCUAGAGGAGAGACGAAGACGAGGCGUGCUCCGGCGCGGGCCCUCAUCAACGAUCCGUCGAAGUACAUUGUCCAGUACUCCUGUGUUUCUCCGGCACCGAUGGUGUUAGGAUCUCCGUCCACUUCGCCACAAAAUUGGCGAGUACCUGGGACUUGAUGGCGGUACGGGGGGCAUAGGUGAUGCCCUGGUCCGUGGCGUCCUGGUUCCGGAUCACUUUGCCGAGUGGGAACGACGAAACAACCGUUAACGGAUGAGAGGUGAAGUAGUGGCGCAGCUUCCUCUUCGUGGUGAGGAUGGCGUAGAUGAGCUUCUAGAUCUGCGGGUAGCGCGCCUUGGACUCGGACAGGACUUCGCUGACAAAAUACACCGGGCGUUGCACCUUGAGGGCGUGUCCCUCCUCUUCUCGCUCCACCACUAGGGUCGCGCUAACCACCUGGGUAGUCGCCGCUAUGUAGAGCAGGAGGGGCUCGCCAUCGGUCGGCGGGACUAGGAUUGGGGCCUUCGUCAAAAGAUCCUUGAGCCGGUCAAGCGCCUCCUGGGCCUCAACGGUCCAUUCGAAGCGAUCAGUCUUCUUUAGGAGUCAAUAGAGGGGGAGUCCUCGUUUGCCAAGGCGUGAGAUGAAGCGGCUCAGAGCCGCCAAGCAUCCCGUGACGCGCUGGACUCCUUUCAUAUUUUGGAUCGGCCCCAUGUCGCUAAUGGCCGCUAUCUUCUCUGGAUUGGCCUCGAUGCCGCGCACGGAGAUGAUAAAGCCUAGCAGCAUGCCCCUUGGGACCCUGAAAACGCAUUUUUCGGGAUUGAGCUUAAUAUGCUUGUCCCUCAGCCUUUCGAAGGCUAGUUCGAGGUCGGGGAUGAGCUGGUCGACCUUUAUUGAUUUGACUACGAUGUCGUCGACGUAAGCCUCAACGGUUCGCCCGAUGAGGUCCCCGAAACACUUCAGCAUGCAUCGCUGGAACGUAGCCCCCGCAUUUUUGAGGCCGAAUGGCAUCUUGACGUAGCAGUAGGGUCCAAAGGGGGUGAUGAAAGAGGUAGCCAGCUGGUCGGAUUCUUUCAUCGUGAUCUGAUGGUAGCCAGAAUACGUGUCAAGGAAGCUGAGGGUUUCGCACCCAGCGGUUGAGUCGACUAUCUGAUCUAUGCAUGGCAAAGGAAACAGAUCCUUUGGGCACACCUUGUUGAGACCAGUAUAGUCAACACACAUCCUCCAUUUCCCAUUCUUUUUUUGCACAAGAACAGGAUUAGCUAGCCACUCAGGGUGGUACACUUCCUUGAUGAAUCCGGCCGCUAAAAGCUUCUGGAGCUCCUCGCCGAUGGCCUUGCGCCUCUCCUCGUCGAAGCGGCGCAGACCUUGCUUUACUGGCUUGGAGCCAGCCUUGAUGUUCAAGGAGUGCUCGGCGACUUCUCUCAGAAUGCCGGGCAUAUCCAAGGGCUUCCACGCGAAAACGUCGUUGUUCACGUGGAGGAAGUCGACAAGCGCGCUUUCCUAUUUGGGAGAUAGGGUAGCGCCAAUCCGCACGGUCCGGCCGUCGAAGCUGCUGGGGUCGAGGAGGACCUCCUUGACACCUUCGGUGGCUUCGAAGGAGGUGGCCGACUGCUUGGAGUCGGGCUGGUCCUCAGUGCCCUCCGCGAGCUGGACCGCCAACUCUUCUGUGAAGGUAAUGGCUGCAGCGUACUCGCAGCAUUCUAUGUCGCACUCGUACGCCUUCUGGAAAGACGUGCUGACGGUGAUGACCCCGUUGGGCCCCGACAGCUUGAGCAUGAGGUAGGUGUAGUUGGGGAUGGCCAUGAACUUGGCGUAGCAUGGCCGCCCCAAGAUGGCGUGGUAGGUUCCACGGAAUCCUACGACCUCAAAGGUUAGGACCUCCUUCCUGUAGUUGGAAGGGGUCCUGAAAGUGACGGGCAAGUCGAUCUGCCCGAGAGGCAUUGCCUGUUUCCCUGGCACGACGCCGUGGAAUGGCGCCUUGCUGGGGCGGAGGUGGGAGUGGUCAAUCCCCAUGGCGUCGAGGGUCUCGGCGUAGAGGAUGUUGAGGCCGCUGCCUCCAUCCAUGAGCACCUUGGUGAGGCGCGUCGUGCCGAUGAUAGGGUCGACGACGAGAGGGUAGCGCCCCGGAUGCCGGACGCGUCCCGGAUGGUCAGACCGGUCGAAGGUGAUGGCGGACCCCGACCAGUCGAGGAAGGCCGGUGUCGCAGGCUUGGCCGCGUAGAGUUCGCGGCGCUCCAGCUUCUAACGGCGCUUGGAGUCGUACGCCGCCGGGCCGCCGAAGAUCAUGAAGCAGCCGUCCACCUUGGGGAAGCCCUCCUCUUCCUUCUCCUCGUCGUCCUUCUUCUCCUCGUCAGGCUUCUGUCUCUGGUCGCCUUUCACCGGGUUGCCUACGAAGUACCUCUUCAUGAGGUUGCAGUCCUUGUAGGCGUGCUUCACGGGGAACUCAUGGUUCGGGCACGGUCCCUCGAGCGGCUUGUCGAAGAAGCCGGGCGUGCCCUCUAGGGGCAGUUGUCCUCGCUUGCGCUCAACAGCAGCCACGAGGGGAGCCUCGCGCCGCGGCUUGCUUUUCUUCUUCUUCUGCUGGCGGUUGGAGGUGCCCUCGUCAGCAUCCUCCUCCCGCUUUGCCUUGCCCUUGGAGUGGUCGAAGAUUGCUCCAACGGCCUCUUCACCUGAGGCGUAGCUGGUGGCGAUAUUGAGGAGCUCCUCCGUGGUCCGCGGGCCUCGGCGCCCUAGCUCGUGGACGAGGGGCCGGCAGGAGGUUCCUGCUAGGAAGGCCCCUAUGACAUCGGCGUCCGUGACGUUGGAGAGCUCGGUGCACUUCCUGGAGAAGCAUCGGAUGUAGUCCCAGAGGGACUCGUCUGAUCCCUGGCGGCAGCUCCGGAGAUCCUAGGAGUUGCCGGGGCACGUGUACGUGCCCUGGAAGUUUCCCACGAAUAUUUCCUUCAGGUUGUUCCAGCUGCGGAUCCAACCUGAAGGGAUGUGUUCCAGCCAGGCUCGCGCCGAGUCGGCCAAAAAGAGCGGGAGGUUGCGGAUGAUGAACAGGUCAUCGUCCGUCCCACCAGCCUGACAUGCAAGCCGGUAAUCGUUGAGCCAUACCCCGGGGUUCGUCUCCCCCGAGUAUUUGGCCACAUUUGUUGGUUGCCUGAAGCGCGGCGGAAACGGCGCAUUCAGGAUACGCGCGGAGAAGGGCUGGGGCCCCACCGGGUCGGGGCUCGGGCUGCGGUCCUCUUCGCUGUCGUAGCGCCCGCCGCGGUGGAUGUGGUAGCCGCGAUCUACCCCUUCCUCCAUGUCCGCGCGGGAGCGCCUCCGCGCGUCCAGGGUGUCGUGAGCGUCGCGGACAGAGCCGAUGCGUCGGUUAACGGACCGAGCCCCGCCUCCUGCUGGCGGUGGUGUCCGCCGAGCGGGCGCGUCUUGGUUUGCCCUAGGAGGAGGCUGGUGAACAGACUCCCCUCGCCUCUCCGGGGGCGCGUCGGGUGCCGUCCUACUGGCGUUUUGCCCGUGUCGCCGGGACGCGGAGCUUCCCACCUGCUGGACGGCGGCGCACUCGAGCAGGUUGCGCACCUCUUGGCGCGCCUGACGCUCCUCAGGCAUCGCCGGUUCGGGGAGUCGCUGGAGUAGGGCUGCUGCGGCAGCGAUGUUCUCGCUGGCGCAACCGAAGAGCUGAGGGUGUUCUUUGUCCGCGUAGAUGCGUUGCUGGACAUCGCGCGCCCAUUGUCGCGCUCCGCCUUCGUUGCGGGGGCGCUCGACCUCCUGGCAGGACGCCGCGCGCGCCUCCGACUGCCGAGGUUGCACCGGGGCCUUGCUAAGGGCCCCAGUCAUAGCCGCGGCGCACGGUGGGGGAGUCCUCUGCCUCCCUUCGGCGCCGUCGUCGUUGGACCCCUCGGAGUGCACGUCGGCCAUGAAGCACUCGCGCGAGGGGUGGUGGCUCCCGUUGUCGGAGCCGGCAUCGGAAAUUGUCCUUACCACGCCUGCGAGCUGGUUGCUCAUGGGCGACACGAUCGUGGACCGCGUCAGGAGGCGACCAUAGGUCACCGCGAUAUUGCGCAGCCCGAAGAGCCACCCCCCUGAGGAAGGCCCUCCAGCGCGCGCCUGGCCGCUCGCCGCUGUCCCGGCGGCGGAGCUGGGGAUGGCGGUGAGCGGGCAAGAUGAGGAGAGGGAUCAGCUCGAUCCCCUCCCCGGUGGCGAGGAAGUCCAGACUCCCGAAGCAGAUCAGGGAGCCCGAAGCGAAGCUGGCAUCACGGCUAGCCAUCGGAAGCCGGAGAUGUACGCGCAAAGGUCCCCUACCUAGCGCGCGAACUGUCUUUGUCAAGAUUAGCGGGUCAAGACUUAGACUAGUAAAUUUCUUUUAUGCGCGUAAGGCUUCGGAUGGUGGCGUCGGAGACACGGGGUUUAGACUGGUUCGGGCAAGGGAACGCCCUACGUCCAGUAUCGGGAGCUGCUCGUGUUGCCCACGCGGGGUUCUGUAGUAGGGGUCACAGGAGUGCGAGAGAGGGAACUGGUCCCAAGUCUCUUGGAUGUGCCCUGACGCUCUAGCAGGGGUGCUCGUGCGUUCUGUUGUCUAUGGAGCAUUAUGGUGUCUUGAGUUGUGCGUUCAGCCUCCUCCUGUCUCAGACCCCCGGUUCCUCUUUUAUAGUGUAAGGAGGCCACCGGAGUUACAUGUGAGACCAAGCGUGGGGAGCGGUAAAAAGAUAAGCAUGGCUAGGUAAAAAGAACAAUGCGAGGGGGGGAGCGAGUUCCCAGGUCGCCGACGUCCUCGCCGGCCUUCGGCUCCUACCAGCGCGUUUGUCGGAAGAGGGUGGCGACCGCUGCUUCCUGUCGAUGGCUUCCUCGGUGACUGUAGCCACCGGACGUGAUGAUGGCGUUUCGUCAUGACCCCCAGGUCCGUUUGGGGAGGUGGCAGAUCUUGCCGUCCUGCUGACGGCCUGUGGAGAGCGGACGUUGCAUCUCUGCCGCUGGGCGCGCGGGGCACGAGGGCGGGUGAGGCUUCCUCCUGCCUUGGGCGGUGCAGACCAUGAGUGCCCUGUGGCCAAUCGGAGAGGGUCGCAGCUACUGUAGCAAGUACUGUGCGGCUGCGCAUGGGUACUUGCAACGGGUUGUGUGGGGGCGUGGAGAUCCUUCUUUCUGACAGCUUUGCGGCGCGUUUAUGGUGGAAUCGAUAGGGGGACCCAGGAGAUCCGCGCCCGAGGCGGAUACUUGUCUGGUGGGCCUUGGUCAACCCGACCUCCUAUGCUUGGGGUCGGGCGAAGCGGAGGCCUGCAGCGGGGGGUCAGACGCUCCCGACCCCGGACCUGCGGUCGGGCGAGGAGGAGCUUGGUCUCACGUGGGUCGGGGAUGCCGGACCCCAAGAUACCGGGUCGGGCGAGGCGAACUGCGAUUCUCAUUCCCUGUGUUGGGCCAACGGGAGGGGUAACAGGAGGGGUCGGCCGACGGUGCAUUGAUGGGCGGCAGGGGAGGAAGAUGACGGCUGGUGGCGGGGGUGGACGGAGGCGUGGCGGCGGCCAAACCUUGGUAGUGGCGGGGGUCGGGCGCGAAGAGUAGAACAGGCGCGGGAGGAAAGAACAGGCGCGGGAGGAAGUCACGGUGCGGGGGGUCUUAGGAGAAAAAGAAACGAACUUUUUUUCUGUAAUCAGUGGCAUUGAUGGGUAAUUACCCACCAACUGCACAAGGAGGUUCAUAUUGAGUGGUUUUGGAGCUGCAAAAGAGGUGCUCAAAAACUCCACCCUCAUUUGCACUAAGCUCCAUGAAGUUGGCAACUCCAUGGAGUUUUGGAGCUGGAAUGUUUGGCUGGAAAAUUGGCUGGAGUUGCUGGAGUUCAGCUCCAGAGCCAUGCCAAACUGGGCCUUAGGCACAGGUUUUCUUUAGCUAUAUUGUGGGUGGAAAAAGUAAUGCGAACCAAAUUACAUUUUUAUCAUUGUUUCUAAUCCAUCGCUCAGAUAGUCAGAUUUGAGGGUUAGACUCAACAGAAGCGCUCAUAUUUAUGACUAAUUGUUAUGUCAUGUUAGCUAACGUGCUACUCAACAGCGAGAAACCUAAUAUCCUUUCACCAGUUGCAAGAUAUACCCGUCCAAUCUCUCAAACGCAGAUUGAACACGUACAAGAACGGAUGAGAAAACCUCUCAAACAUUUCUAAGUUCACAUUUUACCACUUGGACAUGGAAAAAACAAAAUAGCCAUGAAUGGAAACAAAUAUUGGAUCUAUGUGAAUAUGAAAACGAAUAGAUAUGAAUGGGAAUUUGAAAGGAAUCGGUACUCGUAGCCUAAGAGGAGGAGGGGGUGAAUUAUGCAAACUUAAAUUCUUAACCUAUGGCUUCCACUAUUUGCUUCAAAACAUAAAUUUGCUAUCUAGAUGUGCAACAACUAAGGUUGAUCUACUGAUUCUUCUGACCUACAACAAGUUUUGCAAUCUAGAGGCAAUCCUAUCAAGAUUCUACUUAGUAAGUAAGUCACUCAAGUUGCAAGUAUGAAAUACGGAAAUGUAAAGGAGUGGGUUAGGCAUGAUGCAAACUCCGCACAACGAUUUUAUCCCGUGGUAUCGGUAGGCAAAUGCCACCCCUAGUCCACGUUGAAGCUCCACCAAGGAUAUGCUUCCGGUCACCAAGUCUCUCCCGGUCAAGGUAUUAGACUCGCCACAAACACUCUUGCCAAGCCAGAUGAGAAGCUAGCCACUAAGGCAAGGCUCACCACUCGCUCUCUUCUAGUCACCUUCAUGUCAUCUCCAGUACGAAGCUUCUCCAUGAAGGAGGGGAUCUCCUCGUCCCCUGCACACGAUUGUCAACGCCGCUCCACACCAAGUUGGAGGGUCAAAGACUUACCGGCGAGCCACCAAGGCUUCAAGACGCCAGCACACCUUGUACAAUGUUGGUUAACUCCUUGAACCGAUCAUAAGGCAGCAACACAUUGCACUCUCUCUUCUAUAGGCCUAUCCUGUUAGUGUUUAGACCUGACAACCUAUCGAGGGGGUACCCAAGGUAGUGUUCUGUGCGUGGGGCUCGCCGAAGACUAGGAACUCGAAGGUGAACUCAAACACACGAUUUAGACAGGUUCGGGCUGCUUAUGUCAUGUAACACCCUACAUCCUGUGUGUUGGUUGGAUUGUAUUGAUUGAUGAGAUGUUUGGAGGGCGUCCCUGCCUCACCUUAUAUUGCCGGGGGCAGGAUUACAGGUCGAUUGUUGUAUAAAGUACUAGUCAGAUUUGACCAAAGAGUCCCACUCUAAUUGCUACGAGUAGUUUCCUAAUCCUUGACUAGUCCCUGUCCGCCAUGUAGACCACGCUGUCCUGCACCAUAUUCUCCAUGUCUGAUACAUCUUGGUGUACAACCACGUAUUGUAGGACUACCCAAGCCUCCUGGUGGGCCCAUAGAUGUAUGGCCGACAAGCCCCCAAGUACUUUUUAAUCAAAUGCAGCAGUCCUGAGUACUUUUGGAGAUGUCACCGACUAGUUUGUGGUGCUCCUUUUGAGUACUCCAUCGAAUUGAAUCUUUGAAUGUGCUCGAGUAUUGCCAUGCGGCUAGAAGGUGCUCAAGCCUCAUUUAACUUAGUCUUGAAUCUUGAAUCUUAUAUGGAAGUGCGAUUUGAAAAAAUCGCACUCCAUAUGGAGUAGCCCCUGAGCCUUAGGUUGAAUCGAAGAAUCAGGCUAAGGGUCAAUCUUGUAAUAUCACAUCUGGUUCCCCUUAAAACCUGGAGAAAAACUUUUUAUCCAACGGGUACAUGGCACACAGCCCCCGAGCCAUUACAUGACUAGUUUGGGUAUAAGGGUCAACCACUGGUCCAAUGUGACCAUUCGCCUUUAGAGAACUUAUCUCUUUCGAAAAACUUGAUAAUCGUUCCGGCGAUAACUAAUGGCUUAAAAAAUAAAAUAUUCCCCAUAAUCUUCGCCACUCAGUUACCUUGUAUCACGGUUAUAAAUGAUGGAGGAAUCUUAUCCCUUCCAUUUACCUGAGCUAGUGCGCCCGAGCCAUUUCAUCUUCUCCACUGUAUCCCUAGUGCCGCUACUUGUACUCCCGGAGUGCCGCCACCCCCCAUUGUGCAGCCACCCAGCUGAUGCGCUGGAAGACCAUUGGUGCAAUGGCGCCCAAGAAGGCAUCCUUGAGCAAGGUGGCAAAGUCAAAGAAGCACAAGGCCGCCAAGAAGGAUAAAGAGGUCCAGCUGCCAGCGCCCAAGUAUGGGAAGACCGAUCAGACGGUGCCCUUGAAUCAAGCCAUGGCCUGGAGGUCGUCCACCUUGAAGGAGGCAAACAUCGAAGUACUGGUGCGUGCCAAUCUGCUUCAGGAGAAAUCCAUGGCCCUUUGAGACCUACCCGGACGAGACAGUGAUCUUCGUACACUUCAUCGAGCACAGGCUUGCUCUGCCAUUGUCCGAGUUCUUCAUGGGGUUGCUGAGGUAUUACCAUCUAAAACUAGUCCACCUCAACCCAACUCAAUUUUGCACAUUGUCAUCUUCGUGCACCUCUAUGAGGCCUUCCUGGUGAUUCAGCCCUAUUUUCAGCUUUUUAGGAAGUUCUUCAGAGUGAAGCCUCAAACCCGGAUGGACCACACGCUGGUAGUCGGAGGGGUGGAGAUCCAGCUUCGGGAGCAAUACAAGAGCCAAUACAUCGAGUAUGAGCUGAUUGACUCCCAUUUUGGAUGGAAGCAAUGGUGGUUCUACAUUGCAAAUCAUGACCCCCAUCUUCCUAAGGUUACUAGCCACCGUUCAGUGUGGAACAACCACUAGCUGGAUGAGCCGAGUAGUUCUGGUGGCUUUCAGCUACCGGAUCUGAUUAAGAAGAUUGCCUAGCUCAAGAAGGAUGGUCUCACCAGCGUUGGCAUAGCCUUCAGCUUCAUGAGGAGGCAUGUCCAGCCCCUGCAGCUUUGGUGCACUGUAGGGUACAACUACUCGGGUCCCAACAACCCAUCGCGGAUGAUGUCGGAGGAGCUGUCUCUUGACCAGGUGAUGGCCCACCUGAAGCAUUUCUUCAAGUGCGUCACGGGUAUCCCCACGAUCUUGCAAGAGCACUAAGCUGGGAACCCGCCAAAUCCUGUAAGUACCCAUGGCCUGCAGCUUCCGAGUACUAGUUCUGACAUAUGUCAUUGUUACUGACUAGUCUUUUGUUGCUUGCAGCAUGAGUUGAAUUUGUAUGUCUCAUACUCUCCUGCACCUGAUGCUGAUGUCAUGCCCCGUAUGCAGUCCCUUGAGGCUGUGCAGAGGUGCUCGAGGAGGAGGAGGAAAAAGGGAGGAGUCGCCAAACUGGUCCUCCCUCAGCAGCUCUGAUUCAGAGCUGCUGAAAAGUUUGUUGUGAAGCCCCGUCUUUCUGACAAGGUAGGGUCAUUGUCUGGGACAUCCAAGCAUGCAGCGAAGGAUGUUCCGGAAGUUGAAGUGGCGCCACCCCUGAAGGAGGCACGUACUACCGCCGCCAAGAGGGUGGCGAAGAAAUCGUUGGCCGCUGAGAUCCCUCCUCAGGUAACAAGAUCUUGAGGAUCGAGUACCCCUGCAUUAUCUGCUUUAUCAUCAGAAUUUGACUUUAAUCUUGUUAGUGUGUAGGUAGUGGAGGAGGAGACUAAGGAAGAGGAACUGACUACUCUGAUCCUACAGCGGUAGAGGUUGCCAACGAUACAAGAAGUCUCACGCGUUGAGUACUCGAGGAGAGGAGGUAGUGGCUAAGGCUGGCGAGGAUCUGACUAUGAUCCGGCAAGCCGUACCAAAGAAGUCAUCACCAACCAUCAAGGCACUGUGCCUGGGAACCGAGUCCUCCCUUAGGAUAAGGAGGUCCACCCAUUAAGUAUCCGUGUAGCGAUGUCAACUUGAUGUCAUCAAGUAGUGUGUCAUAAUACUUUUCUUGUUGUAGGAGAUCCGCCAGUGUGGACACUAAGGGCUCGAGUAUGACAUCUGGUGAUGAUGGUGGUAGCCACUCAGCCCAGGAAGUCAUCCCGGGUUCUGGUGCUGAUGGCAGUAGCCACUCAGCCCUCGAGCUUGCCUUGGAGCAUGAUGUUCCGCCGCUAGAGGAUCAGCCCGCUGCAACUCUUAUGCAUGACUUGUUGUGAUCACUUUUAAGUUUCUAUAGUUCUAGCCCCCGAGUUGCCGGAGGCCGAACCCGUCAUUGAGAAUACUUCCACGAUGGUGAUCGAGCUGGUGGCCGUGAUGUUGAAUUCGGAUGCUGAGCCGGAAAUGGAGGCCGGGGUGGAGCUGGAAGCUGAGGUUAGAGUGGCGGUCGUCAAAGAAGUCGAGGUUGCACGUGUAGCCCCCGAGCCAAAAGCUGAUGUAGAGGCUGCCAGGAUGGUGUAAGUGUUGCCCGUUGUCCCGCCGUCCAAGGUGAGGCCAUCGACUAGUCGCGCGGUGGCUACCUCCUUGUCAUCAGAAGCUGGCCCAUCGACUAGCCGAGCAAUGGUCCCUCUCGAUGCGCCGGGUGCCGGAGAACAUGAUGGGGUUCCUCUUGUGGUGAAACGAGAGAGAGACUGGCUGAUAGCUGACCCCCUAGCCACCAUGGAUUUCGAGGCCACGCUGAUGGACAUGUACCACCAAGUAGACGAGUACACAUAGGUAGGCUUUACUCUUGCUCUUGAACUUCGUCUUUAAAUUGGUACUCGUUACUGACCACGAGCACUUGCUCUGUUGUUGUAGACAUUGAUCCAGGACUUCCGCGAGUAGUCGAAAGUUCUCGAAGUAGUUGGAGACACCAUCUAGCAGGCCGAGGCGCUAGAGCAGAAACUUGCCGAGGAGAGGUAGUACUCCUCUCGACUGUUGAUGAAGUAUGAUGGCUAGGCCGCCGAGUACCAUAACCUCUUGUAGAAAGCUGAUGAAGAAAAUGAUCGGCUCCGGGUACUCAAUAGAGGCCUGAGGACCCAAAAUGAAGGUAGGCUAUUUUUCCUUCAUUGCUUUCAAGUACUUGUCUACCUUGCUGAUGCUGACUUGUUCUUUGCCUUUGUUGUUGUAGAGCUCACCAAGGAGAAUAACAAUCUCUAGUGUCGUGCUGUGGACUGGCAGAACGCAUACUAUCGGGUCACCGAUGAGUAUGACAAGGUGACCAAACAGUACAAGACCCUGUAACAGAAGUUUGAUAAGGAGAAGCAACUGCGCAAGGACAGGAAGGUCCAACUUGUGGACCUGAUGGAGAAACUCCAAGCGCAGUAGGCUGAGUUGGAGGUGAAGGACCUUUCUCUCAAGGAGCUAUCAGAAGCUGCUCAGCCCAUUGCUGAUAUGGUGGAUCCCUCGGAGGAAGGGGUGGAGCCUCAUCCCUUGGUGGAGAUACUCAAGGAUGUACCCGAGAAGUUCACCAGCUACGUGAAGAAGACUGCAGAGUCCAUCUCCAAGCAACUGCUGAUGAUGGUGAAGUCAUUCUACCCACAAGCCAACUUGGCUCUCGUGGCAGAAGGCAUUGCUGAGGACUGCUCAGAUGAGCAGUUCCAGCAGUACCUAGAGGAGAUGGCUCCCAUUGCUCAAGAAGUAGCCAGUCAGAUAGACCUUGAGUAAUCUACAAAAAUAAUUGUUUGUAAUGUAAAAAAGUUAUGUUAAUGCAAAUUAUUGGAAGUCUUGUUGCAAUUUUUUGUUUGCUUGAUGAUUUGUUUGAAUUCCUUUAGUUUAGUGCCUCUCAUGGACUACCUAGAUGUUUGCUCAUGUGGUAGUCAUCAGUGUCCACGCACAAGGCUGCUUCAAGAAGCCUCUUCAAAUAUACUAUGUAGAGCCUUUUUGCGGAGCUCCAGUACUCGUGUAUCUGGGUAGUCGAACUCUUCAAGCGAGUAGACUCUUCAAGACUUCAUGAUCUGGAGCUUACCUUUAGAAACCUUUAUAGAUUGUUUGGGUGUUGUGCUCCAAAGACUUGGAACUUGCAGACUUGUUAUUACAAGGCGCGGCUAGAAGGACAAGAUAGUAUAGAUCACUCCUAAGUAAUUUGACGAGUUCUGUCUGCGAAGACUGUCGAUGGACAAGUUUUAUCCAAGGAUCUGAUUAGCUCGAGAUUUGUGUGUGCAGGCUUGCUUUUGUGCAAGUUGCUUCUAUCUAAUGAGUUUGGAGCCUAUACGACUAGGUCCAGUGACCUUAAAAUGAUGUAAGGCCCCUCCCAAGGCAACUUUAGCUUGUGCAGCCCCUUGGUGUCUUGGAUAUGCUUGAGGAUCAUGUUGCUUGUGUUCAACGAACGUUCUUUGAUGUUAUGAUCAUAGAGCGGAGGAUUCCUUCAAGGUACCUUGCUAACUGGUUGAGUACUGCACAGCGAGCUUCUUCAAGGCUGUCUAAGUCUAGACGCCUUGUUUCUUCAGCCGUGCCUUCCUCGUAUUGCUCAACCACUAGAGAUUUCCACAUGACGUCGGUAGGGAGGAUGGCUUCUGAUCCGUAGACCAGGAAGUAGGACGAGUGCCCCGUAGGCUUGCACGGCUGUGUGCGAAGCCCCUAGAGGAUAUUGGGUAGUUGCUUGAGCCACUUGCCUCCUUUGGUGUUGCCAAUGUCGUGUAGUCUCUUCUUGAGAGCUUCCAGUACCAUCCUUUUGGCACGCUCAACUUGGCUGUUGGCCAGUGGAUGAGCCACAAAGAUGUAUUGGACAUCGAUCCUGCUGUUUUCGCAGUAUUCCCAGAACUCGUGAUUGUUGAAAUUUGAGCCCAGGUCUGUGAUGAUGCGAUUGGGGAAGCUGUAGCGAAGGACGAUCUCGUCGAGGAAGUCAAGUACUCUAUCUGCCUUGGGGCAGGUUACAGGCUUCAUCUUGAUCCAUUUGGUGAAUUUGUUGAUCGCCACGAGUACUCGAUUGAAGCUCCUAGGCCGCGUAGGUAGAGGGCCAAUCAUGUCCAGCCCCCAGCAUGCGAAGGGUCAGGAGGGCGGUAUGGUGAUCAGCUUGUAGGUAGGGACGUGUUGCUGCUUGGUGAAGAAUUGACAACCUUGGCAUCAACGGACUCGUUCUUCAGCGUCUUUGAGAGCUGUAGGCCAGUAGAAUCCCACUUUGAAAGCGUUGCCUAUGUUCGUUCUGGAUGAUGCAUGGUUGCCGCAAAUGCCUUUGUGAAUCUCCUCCAGUAUGUCCUUGUUGUCUUCUCAUGAGACACACUUCAUGUGUACUCCUGAUGAUGCGCAUUGUCUGUAGAGCUUGUCCCCGACUAGGAUGUAGUUCUUGCCAUGCCGUGAGACUUGCUCUGCUUCUAUCUUGUCGGGAGGCAGCUUGUGCACCUUGAUGUAGUUGAUGAAGGGGGUUCUCCAAUCUACGUCGAUCAUCAUAACCUCCCGGUCGGGCGCAUCAUUGCCGCGAUCGGUGAUUUUAGAUACUGCUGGUUCCUGUAUGGAUGGCUUGUGUAGUUCAUGGACGAAGACCCGAGCUAAGAGUUGGCACAAGUUGACCCGAGUUUGGACAAGACGUCUACGGCUACGUUGUUGUCACAAGCCACGUGAUGGAACUCCAUACCAGAGACCUUUUCCUCUAGCUUGCGCACUUCAAGGUAGUACACAUCCAUGUUAUCCUUGUGAUGAUCCCACUCAUCGUUGACUUGGUUGAUGACCACGAGUGAGUCGCCAUAUACCAACAACCAUUUGAUUCCCAGUGAUACUAUCAGGCGGAGCCUAUGUAGUAGCGCUUCAUACUCAGCUAUAUUGUUGGAGACCUCCCAGAAGAUUUGCAAGACAUAUUUGAGUUGUUCACCUUUAGGAGAGAUUAGUAGUACUCCUGCACUAGCUCCCUCAAGCUUGAGUGAUCCAUCGAAGUACAUGACCCAAUGCUCUGGUUGUUCUGCCAGUGCGGGUACCUGAUUUUCCCGUCACUCUACCUUGAAAUCGACUAGUGCUUGCAACUUGAUGGUAGUCCUUGGUUUGAAAUCCAGGGACAAGGCUCCGAGUUCUACUGCCUACUUGGAGAUUCUUCCUAUUGCAUCUCUAUUGUGGAGUAUGUCUCCCAAGAGGAAGUCUAUGAUGAUAGAGAUGUUGUGUUCCUAUAAGUAGUGUCAUAGCUUCCGCGAGGUGGGUAGUAUUGCGUAUAGCAACUUCUGUACUGGUGGGUAUCUAGUUUUAGAGUCUAACAGCACCUCGUUGAUGAAGUAGACGGGCCUCUAAACUUUGUAUACAUGUCCUGGUUCUGGUCUUUCGACCACGAUCGCCGUGCUGAUGAUGUUAGUAGUCGCAGCGACGUAGAGCAGCAAGUCUUUGUUGGGAGUAGGCGCCGUGAGGACCGGUAGCUUUGAUAGGAAGUCCUUUAACUGUUGAAGGGCUUGUUCCGCGUCCUCGGUUUACUAGAACUUGUCCUGCUGCUUGAAUAGUUUAGAGAAGGGUAGCCCGUAUUCUCCAAGUCUUGAGAUAAAUCUAUUGAGGGCCGCCAUGCACCCAGUCAGCUUCUGGACAUCCUUGAUGCACGAUGGAGCAUGCAAGUUGGUGAUGGCAGCGAUCUUCUCAGGAUUAGCUUCGAUUCCUCGAUGGCUGAUGAUGAAUCCGAAUAGUUUUCUAGAGGGUACAUCGAACACGCACUUUGUUGGGUUCAGUUUCCAUCGGUAUACUCACAGGCUUGUGAAGGUUUCUUCCAGAUCCGCAAUGAAGUCAUCAUGAUUUCUGGUCUUUAUGACCACGUCAUCCACGUAUGCCUAUACAUUGUAGUGUAGAAGGUUCUUGAAGCACUCCUGGAUGGCUCGUUGAUACAUGGCGCCUGCGUUCUUCAACCUAAAGGACAUCAUAGUAUAGCAGAAGGCUCUGUAAGGGGUGAUGAACAUGGUCUUGAUCUGGUCUUCUUCCUAAGUGCUAUCUGGUGAUACCCCGAGUAGCAGUUGAGGAAGGAGAGUAGAGCACACCCAGCCAUCGAGUCGAUGACUAGAUCAAUCCUAGGGAGCCCAAAGGGAUCCUUUGGACAAUGCUUGUUUAGGUCUGUGUAGUCGACACACAUCCUUCACUCGUUGUUGUUCUUCUUCUACACCAAGACAGGGUUAGCCAACCACUCUGAAUAAAGGAAUUAUUUUAUGAAGCCAGCCACGAGUAGUUUAGCCAAUUCUUUUUUGAUGGAUUCUCUUCUUUCUUGGGCGAACCGGCGUAGUCGUUGUCGCUUGGGCGUAGCUUUGGGAUCCACAUUCAGUGAGUGCUCGAUCUACUCCCUAGGCACCCCCGGCGCCAAUUAGGGCUGUAUUGGAGCUGUUGCCGGUCUCGAGGUCAAUGGCUUUGUGAUCACCCUCUCCUGCCGGCUUGACCUUGGUUGCCCCCGACUUCUUCUCUUGGAUUUCGAACUCUGUUGGGGACAAUUUCUUGGAGGCGGUGAAGACUUGCAUCAUGGAGUUUGGCACUUGGGUAGUCGCUGCCAGCUCCACAGCUUCUGUAUCACAGUCGUAUGAUCUCUUCAAGUCUCUACGCAGGUAAAAUACUCCCUUGGGUCCCGGCAUUUUGAGUACUAGGUAUACAUAAUGUGGGAUGGCCAUGAAUUUGACCAGUGCUGGUCUUUUGAGGAUGGUGUGGUACAAAGUCUCAAAGUCAGCCACCUCGAACCGGAUGUACUCGAUCCGGUAAUAAUCCUUGGUCCUAAAUGUAACUGGAAAAAGCACGUAAUCAACGGGUACAACCACGUUACCCAGGACAAUCCCGUAGAACGAAGAGUUCGUCAGGGUGAGCAUAUCUAUCAUGUCAAGGCCCAUCUUCUUCAUAGUCUUGGUGAAGAGCACGUUGAGGCCACUGCCAUCGUCGAUUAGUACUUUUGUAGGUGAGAGCCUGCGACAUCUGGAUCUAGGAUGAGAGGAUAGCGUCCUGGAUUGGAGAAGCUAGUCCACUAUUCUUUUCUUGAAAAGGUGAUUGGCACAUCAGACCACUUAAGGAAAGUAGGUGUUGCUAGCUCAAUGGACAUGAUUUCUUGAAGGGUUAACUUUUGGGACCGCCUGGUAGCAGUACCCGGAAUGCCACCGAAUAUGAUGUUGACAGUGUUGGACGGGUUCUGGAAUUUCCCAUUAUUGUCCUUGUCUCCGUAUUCUUUAGCCUUUCCCUUGUCUUUAGCUCCAGAAGAUUUCGGCAGAUCUUUGAUGAUUCUACGAAGGCUUUUGCAGUCCAUCAAAGAAAGUUUGGAGUUUGAGUGCCAUGGGCACUGCUUUUUCAGGAGCUCCUUGAAAGGAGUCCUCUCUUGGUUUGCACCGCUCUUCUUGGAGGACUACGACAUUACCGCUGCAGUAUUGUCUGGCUUCCUUUUGCGGUUUUGACCACCCGAGUAGUCGCCUCGGUUGUCUUUGGGGUGAUCGUUGUGAUUCUUACCGUUACCUUGGUCGUUGCUCUGGUUGUUGUUCUGGCCUCUAUUGCGACUAGAUUCAAACCGCUCAAUCUCCUUGGCUUCUUCAUCUGCCUAGGAUUGGAUCAUGGUCUUGAGAGACUUGAUAUCCUCCGGGCGUCUUCUGCCAAAGUCUUGAAACAUUUGACGGUCAUAGAGACUAUUCUAGAAGCAUUCUAUGGCGUCCUUCUCUGUAAUGUCCAUGAUAGUGGCCUUCUUGUCAAAGAAACGAUGUAGGUAACUAUGCAGGGUUUCGCUUGUUGCUGUUUGACUUGCAACAAGCUGAUCCUAUUACCAGAACAUUGCAUUGCUCUAGCAAAGUUAUUUGUGAACGUUGUCUUCAGCUGUCUCCAUGUAUCGAUGGAGUUCCUCCUUAGAGACUCGAGCCAAGUGAGUGGCUCUGCCUCCAUGAGAUGGGGAAGUAGAUGACCUUGGUGUCGUCGUUUCCUCUCGCUGCAUGGACCGCUAGUGAGUGGCACCUUAGCCAUUGGACUAGGUCCUGGUUGCCGUCAUAUUUGUUGAUAGUCGGAAGUUUAAACUUGUUGGGUAGAAUUGUCUUGCAUACUCAGCUUGGAAAGGCGGGGAACCCGUCAGUGUCUUCUCCCAAAUAGUCGACUUCUGGAUCGUGUUCGUGGGGUCACCCUUCCAUGAUGUCACGCGCGUCGCAAUUCUGGUUAAUCUUCUAGCAAAGGUCGCGAGGUUGCUCAGGUUUUGGGUAGGGCCAAUGGGGUCCAAGGCCUCCUGAGUGUCCUGCCCGACUACCUUCUGCCCUAUGUUGACUUGCCCUGGGUUGCUCAAUCCUGGCAACCUCAUUUCUGGCGGCUUUGUUGCGACUUGGAUGCCUGCCGCUACUGCCAUGAUGGGAAGAGGUGCGUCGGACUGAGUUGAUCGGGCUCUGUCGAUCGAGUAGUUUGUACGCGUGCUGUGCCAAGAAAGCUAGUUGCCUGGUGUACUUGUCUUGCGCCAUCGCCCGAGUGAGCAGGUCAAUGGAGGCUAUGGUGGCGAGAGGAGUGUUAUGUUGACGCAUUGAAACUAUUUCGAACGCUUGAUCCAGGUUCAUGAUGGGUAGAUCAUUUGCCAGGUGGCGUCGACGUUCUACUCGCUUCGCGUUUCUUGCUUGUCGGCACACCCUUUGACCUUCUGUCUCUUCCUCUUGGACAUUGGCAGAGAGUUCGUCCGCCGACGCGUCAUCAGGGUGAUGCUCAUAUCGCGGGUUCCUUUUUGGUUGUUCUGCUCUAUCAUUGUUGGCUCUUUGAGGAGUGAUAAUGGCGAGUAGUUCUCGCUCUUGGGAGAAACUACUCAAGCUUGAUGUGAUGAUCUCCGUAGAGCCAUCUUUUUCGUAGGUAGGAGACAGAGGUGUUCCAUCUUGGUAUGGGAGGUUGUCGAGGUACGCGAUGAAGAGUGACUCGUCGUCCCUGGCGAGGGCAAAUGGUUUCAUGUUGGGCCAGUAGACGAAUCUGCCUUGUGGAGUAGAUGUGAUACUAGGCCCUGCUGCAGACUUGAUAAGGGAAUCUCCCCAUCCAGAUCCGAGUAGUAGUCGAAGUCCUCGAUCGAAUUCAAGUUGGAUUGGCACUGGACAAGGAAGCUUGGUAGACAGUGCUUGCGUUUCGAUGUCUCAACAGGAACGGACUUGUGUUGUAGACCAAUUCGCACGGUGGCUCGAGCGCUAGCUCGUAGGAACCAGUCUGACUGAUGGGAGAAGUUGAGUUGUACUCGGACUCACCCCUGGGACCUCGGAAGAGGUUGAAUUUUUUGUUGAACUUUUUGACAAAAUCCUCCAAAGCUUGGCGAUGGAGAUCGAUGUCGUAGUGCUUCUCCUCAAGGGCCGGCGCGAUGUGGCGGUGGAAGUUUCUAGCGCCGUCUGCGACACAGACCCAGGAGCCGAAGACAAACGUCGGGCCUUCUUCGAACGUGAUGGUGGGUUUGAUGAUGAUUGGAGCCAUCAAGUUUGCCAGUGGAUCUUUAGCAAGAUCCCCUACCUAGCGCGCCAUCUGUCGAUGUUUAGAUCCGGCAACCUACCGAGGGGUACUCGAGGUAGUGUUUUGUGCAUGGGGCUCGCCAAAGAUCAGGAACUCGAAGGUGAACUCAAACACACGAUUUAGACAGGUUCAAGCUGCUUAUGUCGCGUAAUACCCUACGUCAUGUGUGUUGGUUGGAUUGUAUUGAUUGAUGAGAUGUUUGGAGGAGGCCUCCUACCUCGCCUUAUAUUGCUGGGGGCAGGGUUACAUGUUGCUUGUUGUACAAGAGUACUAGUCGGAUUCGACUAGAGAGUCCCACUCUAAUUACUACAAGUAGUUUCCUAAUUCUUGACUAGUCCCUGUCCGCCACGUAGACCACACCGUCCUGCAUUGUAGUCUCUGUGUCUGAUACAUCUUGGUGUACAGCCCGGUAUUGUAGGACUAUCCAAUCCUCCCGGUGGGCUCAUAGAUGUAUGGCCGACAUAUCCUAAUAGUAAUCACUCUUUUAAGCUUGUUCUAAGCCUUUGAUUAAUCACCUAUGCACUUUUGGUAGCUUGGAUGUGUUCUUGUUGAGCCUUGAUCUCCAAUGAAUUUCUGCACACAACAACAACUCCAAAUGGGCGAGUGGAGGGGGUUUAAAUAUCCCCAGGCAUCAAAGAGUUGUUGCUCCAAUGGCUAGUUAAAGUGUACCAUCGGAUGUUCUGAUGGUAUGAUUUUGGUAAGUACAGGAACAUCCGGUGCUACUAGCCGUUGGGCUCUUGAGCCCAAAACUGCCACCGACGCAAUCCACUGAUUGAUAUGGUGGUUCGUCCGAUGGUGCACCGUAUCAUUCGGUGCUAGGCUUUCCACACCAAAACUCUUUGGAACUUUCAAAAGAAAAUAUGCUUCGUCCAAUGGGGCCUUAAUAUUGAGCAUCAGAUCAUCCGGUGCAUGCGUUCGUUUCUUCUUUUGAACAACCGAUUCAUCUUAUGCAUAGGAAAGCAAGGCCAGCAAUUGCUCCGAUGCUUUAAAAUCCCUGGCCAUCAGGACAUCCGAUGGUCCCAUUUGGUUUCCACGCGUACUGUAGGCACCAACUGAUUCGUUGGCCAUUUUCUCCACAAAGAAUGAGUCGGUGCUAUAUGUUGAUGCACAAAACUUUGAUUAUUUGCUUGUCUUUUGUUGUGGUUGCUUCCUUAGGACCUAAGAACCUUCAAGACAUAUUCUAAACAAUUCAUUAGUCCUAAUGAUCAUGUUGUCAUAAAAUCACCAAAAUCACAAACAAUAGCCUAAUGGGGUCAUGUUCGCUACAAUCUCCUCCAUUUUCGUGAUUCAUGACAACACAAUCAAAGCAAGCAUAAUUUUGCAAAAAUUGGCCAAUUGAACCACUUACACAUGCUUAGAUGCUUACCAUCAUCCAACUUGUUCUUGAUCUCCGCCUUGUUCAUUUUGAACUCCUUGAGUCCAGUCAAGAAUGUUGUCAUCUUCUUCUUUAUCACCAUUUUCCAUUAUAACUCCUCUUUCCCCAUGCUUAGUCCAAAUAAAAUAGUCUUUCUAGAUGACUAAUCCUUCUCAUUGUUGCAAUUUUUGCAUGGAUAACAAAUGAAACUGGAUGGCAGCUUGUUGGAUUCUACCAGAUCGAGAAAACCACACAAGCCAUUAAUGUACUCCAUGGAGCGUUUGUUUACGUUAUACAUCCAUUGCCGAUUCAUCUACAAAGUAUUAAUGAAUCAAAGAUUUUCUGAUCAUAUAAUUGUGAAGCAUAACAAACAUCACACAAAUCUCAUAAAACUCAAAUGUUGCUGAAAGUUUAAAUAGAAAUACACAAAUUUAAAGUUUAGACCCAAAAAAUACAAUAUGAUACACUACGACAAACACAAAUGUUGCUGAAAGUUUAGAUAGAAAUAUACAAAUUUAAAGUUCAGACCCAAACAACAUGAUACACUACCAAGAACUCAAAUGUUGCUGAAUAGAUAGAACUACACAAAUUUAAAUUUUAGACCCAAACAACAUGCUACACUACGACAAACCAUCCACUAAGUGAUAUCUAGGAGGACUUUAAGCAUCUUUGGGCGGCGAAGACGAAGGUUUAUUUGUGCCUCUUGCGACGGUAGUACUCGGUGGACUUGAAACCGCUGGGACUGGAGGUGGAGUAUAACGACCACCAAAAGGAGGUUCCUGACCCACCGCAAUAGCAUCUUCAUGAUAUCUUUCCAAAUAACGAAGCAUUGCUCUCUCCCACGUGCUCAUUUUCUUCGACUUAUCAUGAGGGCCAACUAUGGUUUUCCCCUUGCCACGAGACGAACUACGAUCACCCCCACCAUCACCACUACCUCCGGCAGCAGUAUCCAUCUCUAUGUACCAUAAUUUAUUUAGCUCAUAUUUGCAAAUAACUAAACUAUAAACAAAUUAUAUUUUUUCCCACAAUAUAGUUAGCUCAAACAUAACAUAUAAAUGAAAAAUUUCUCCAUUGUAGCUUAUUCUAAAAAUGACAAAAUACAUACCUCUAUUUAAUCUUAUUAUCUCUAUGUACCAUAGUUUAUCUCGCUCAUGUUUGCAAAUUACUAAAAUACGAAUAAAUUAUAUUUUUUCCCACAAUUUAUUUAGCUCAUAUUUUAAAGGACUAAACUAUGAAAUUAUUCCUCUAACCUCAUAUUGAUCAGUUUCUUUGACUAAUACGAAACAUAGCAUCCAAAAAAUUGUAGCUCAAACAUAUAUCAUAUAAAUGAAAAAUUUCUCGAUUGUACCUUAUUCUAAAAAUCACAAAUUAUUCUAGCUCUAAAGCAUAAAACUUAGUAUACUAAGCAUGUAUCAAAGGAUGAUGAAGUUUCUAACCUUUAAAACACUUGAACGAGUGAAAUCCCCACGAAAUGGUCAAAAAUCCGGUAGCACCUCCCCUGUUUUGCCAUGAAUGGAUGAAGCUCGAGCUGGAGAAAAUGGCUCGGGCAGAGGAACAAGACGUCUGAUUUUAUUGGAGAGAAGUUAGUACCGUGUGGAGGAUUUGCCCUAUACUAAAAGUUGCAUAUUAGUACCGAUUGAAGCCUCCACCCGGUACUAAAGAUCCUCAGGCACAUUAGUACCGGUUGGAGGCUUCAACCAGUACUAAUGUGCAACCUUUAGUACCGGUUGAAGCCUCCACCCGAUACUAAGGGAGUCACAGGAGGCUCCUGAGGAACUAGUCGUUGGACCUAUUACUAAUGCUCACAUUAGUACCGGAUCAAAAAUCAACCGGCACUAAACCUCGGGACGAAUGGCGAGUUUUCCAGCAAUGAUGAAAAGCCUAUGCUAAAAUUGGGAUGUGUUAGAGCACAUGACCACAUACUUUAUGUCCUUUCAAACAGGAAAGGAGGGUACCGUAUCUGACACUUAAAUAAAAAAGAAUCAUAUACGUUGAUAAUACAUCCAGAAAAGACAGAACUGCACGCAUCCCGUAUCAAGCUGAACGGCCACGAUACAAACUAUGUCAGCUCGCUGGAGUAAAACCUGAUCGUGGGUUGCUAUGGGCAAUACUCACUCUAUUUUUUUACAUUUCACAUUAUAUUUGUUCUAAGCUAAAAUAUAAGAAAAAUAUGUUUUUUCAUCCCUAAAGUAGUUUCAUAUCUUAUAUUUUAAUUGGUGAAAAUCAAUCCCUUAACUAACUAAAUUGGUGCACUAAUCAUCCCGUCUCAAUUUAUUAACGGUUUUAAGCCAUGCAAUCAUCUGACUAACUAUCGCCACGUCAUAUAUGCUGACUAAUAAUCCACUUCACACGCCCAACGUUUUUUAGUAAUUCUUCCUUCUGUUCGGAUAGGCAGUUGUGCAUACUGAUCCCUAUCCCGUUGCCUUCUCCGUUCUCUAGGAUCUAUGGGUAGUUGAAUGUCAUUGGAAGUCAGUGAUACUCCAACAUCUAUAUCCAUGAUUUCCUGCGAAAUACAUAGAGUAUGAAAAAACCGUCAACUUUCACAUAAGCAACACAAAAGAAAUAUUGCAUUGACUAAAUAUAAUUGUGGACUAUAGAAAAAUCAUUUUCAUUUGCUUGAAACGUGCAUAAAUUUUUGACAAAAACCUUAAGGUGGCGUUUGGAUGCAUAUGAAGUUAGGGAUAAGGAUGUAGACCGGGGAUAGAAAGAGCUAGGUUAGGGACGAGGAUAUGGGUAUCCGGUACUGUUCUUAUGUUUGUUUUGAAAAAAGAAAAAGAGUAUGGACGCCUUAAGCAUGAACAUGCUUGAUCAGUGUUAUGGAUACACAAGAUUUUUUUUCAUUCUUUCUAAUGGAAAAAAGCAGAAAAGCAAUAUCAAUAAAUUAAAGCAAUGUCUUCGAUUGGAAAAUAGCAGAAAACCAAUUUUCGAGAAUCAUCGAGCAGUAUGCAUGAAAGAAAUGGAGGGACAGAUGAAGACAAGUGCACAGGCAAAGAGAGUAUUUGUAGCGGCAAACACAACAGUCGGUCCUUAUCUUCUCCCCACUCCCUCCACCGCUCACCCAGAGCCAUCAACAGAAGAGCAGUGCAGAGGUGCCGAAGUGAGCGGCCGCUGCAGAGCCCUCAAGCUCCUCCUCCCCCGUACUCCCUCGAGUGCAGGAGCUCCUCCUCACCCCUACUCCCCCAAUGCGCUUGAACCAGCAAGCUACAACCCUCGCUAUGACGCCUCUGUGGGCCUCCUCCUCAGCGCUUGCAUGCGAGAAGUGAUGGAUUUACAGGAACUCUAGAUGCAAAUCUAACAGGUUAAAACUUAUUCUUUAGAUGAAAAAAUUGACCUAAAAUCUAGAUAGAGACAUCCGAGAGGGGGGGGGGAGAGAGUAGAGUGGAUCACAACCAUCGAGCUUCGUCGACGAGCUCGCCAUGGUGGUGAAGACGGUGUUGACGACGAGGGCGGUGGCGGCGGCGCGGGGAGUUGGCGGAGCUUCCCGCCGCUGACAGCGCAAAGUAGAUCGAGUACUAGGUUUGCUAGUGGGUUUGGUGGGAACGGUAUCAAACUUGAGCUUUCGUGCCCCCGGCCCUCACCUUGUCUUUAUAACGCUGCGUGACGGGACCCCACCAAUCAUGUUUUUAAGCGCCCCCGAUCAAGGCAUGAUCAAGGACUCCGACUCGAUCGUUGGACCGAGCCGGACGAGAUCAAUACUAACAUUCUCCCCCUUAUCUCAUCUCAUACUUAAACUUAGUCUUAAACUUGGCACCAAUUUUAUCACAGAUCAGUGUAUAGAGCAUUUCUCGUCAUAAUAGCUAGUUACGUACUAUCAGAUUCAACAACUACAACACACCUUUCUGUUUUGAAAUAGAUUCUUGUUCUAGGCCCUUAGUAUCCAGGAAUCAUAGGCUUUCCCGUAAACCCAUGCCGGCUAAGUGUUCUCUGAACACAUUGGGCGGUAAGCCUUUCGUAAGCGGAUCCGCAAGCAUUUCUUUUGUUCUUAUAUGCUCUAAACUUAUCGUAUGAUCCUGGAUUUUCUCUUUCACAACAUAAUACUUGAUGUCGAUGUGUUUGGCAGCACCACUUGACUUAUUGUUGUGAACAUAGAAUACUGCUGGCUCAUUAUCGCAGUACAUCUUGAGUUGUCUUUGAAUGCUGUCUACCACUCUCAACCCGGGUACAAACUUCUUUAACCAUUUUUCCUACCCCGUGGCCUCAUAGCAUGCUACAAACUUGGCAAACAUGUGGACGAUCCAGUGAUGGUUUGCAUGGAGCUCUUCCACAAUAUAGCUCCACCUGCGAGAGUGAAUACAUAACCUGAUAUGGAUUUUCUAUCGUCUACAUCUCCCGCAAAGUCUGGAUCUGAGUACCCUACUAUUUCAAUGGAGUUAGUUCUUCUGUACAUUAACAUGAGGAUGUCAUCUACGUAUAGGAUAAGAAAAAGGAAUUUUCCACUACUAGCAAUUAGGAUGUCAUCUACGUAUAGGAUAAGAAAAAGGAAUUUUCCACUGUUAAACUUUGCAUAAACGCAAUUGUCCUCCUUAUUCUCACUAAAUCCAAACUUUCUUAUUGUCUCAUCAAACUUCUAGUACACUGCCUGGAGGCUUGUUUUAAUCCAUAAAUGGAUUUCUUCAUAUGGCAUCCCAUUUGUUCUUUUCCUUCCAUGACAAAACCUUUGGGUUGUGCCAUGUAAACAUUUUCUUCUAGGUCUCCAUUGAGAAAAGCUGUCUUUACACCCAUCUGAUGUAACUCUAAAUCAUAGUGUGCCACUAAAGUCAUUAUGAUUCUAAAAGAAUUCUUACAGGAGACUGGAGAAAAUGUCUCAUUAUAGUCUAUUCCUUCUCUUUAUGUGAAGCCUUUUGCUACAAGUCGCGCUUUAUAUCGUUCGACAUUCCCUUUGGAGUCACAUUUUGUUUUGUAGACCCAUUUACAACCUAUUGUCUUGGCUUCUUUAGGAAUUUCUUCUAAAUCCCAGACUUUGUUGCUACUCAUGGAUCUCAUUUCAUCUUCCAUGGCUUCAAACCACUUUGAUGAGUGAGCACUUCUCAUGGCUUCUUCAAAUAAGGUGGGUACUCCCUCCAUUUGAACUUAUUCACUGACAUAGACUUCAUAGUCAUCAGGAAUAGCUGACUUUCUAACUCUUUGAGACCUUCUGGGGGCCUCAACAUUUGGCACAUCUUCCAUUUGGGGCUGAUGUAGCUCUUUCUCAUAUGUGACAACAGGUUCUUAUAGGAUCCUGAAAGACAGGUUCCUCAUCUUCAUUCGUUGUUGCCAUAGGAGAACUAACAACAAGUGCUAUAGCCACAAUGUCAUGUACUGUUGGUGCAGCAGCAACAGGUAUCGAGAAAAAAGGUUCCUGAAUCAUCAUUGUGGGUACGUAUACCCGCUUCUCCUCAAGGCUAAUUUCUCGGGGUACCGUGCUCCCCUUGAUCAUCUCAUCCUCCAAAAAGAUAGCGUGUCUCAUUUCUACAAACUUAGAAUGACUGUCAGGACAUUAGAAACAAUAAUCUUUUGACUUAUCAGGGUAGCCAAUGAAAUGGCAAAUGAUUGUCUUAGGAUCUAAUUUCCCAAUAUUUGGGUUAAAGACUUUAGCCUCAGCUGGACAGCCCCACACACGCAAAUAAUUGAGUGAGGGCUCUCGUCCAGUCCACAACUCAUAUGGUGUCCUAGACACCGACUUACUAGGAACUCGAUUAAGGAUGUGAAUGGAAGUUUUUAAUGCCUCCAUCCACAAACUAACCAGUAAAGUGGAGUAACUUAUCAUGCUUCUCACCAUAUCCAUUAAGGUACGAUUACGUCUUUCAGCUACUUCACUCUGCUGAGGCUUGCUUGGUGUAGAGUAUUGGUCAACUAUGCCAUUUUCCUAUAGAAACCUUGCAAAAGGUCCAGGAACUUGGCCAUAUGGGGUAUGUCGACCGUAGUACUCCCUCCCACGGUCGGAAUUUACUAUUUUAAUCUUUAAACUAUGCUAAUUUUCUACUUCAGCCUUAAAUAUCUUGAAUUUAUCCAACGCUUCUGAAUGCUCUUUAAUUGGAUAAAUAGAACCAAAACGUGAAAAAUCAUCUGUGAAUGUUAUGAAAGAAUCAUAACCAUCCACAAAUGUCACAGAAAAUGGACCAAAGAUAUCCAUGUGAAUUAUCUCUGAAAUUCCUAUGCUUCUUUUGGCAUCUUUCUUAAUUUUCUUCACGAACUUUCCCUUAUUGCAAUCGAUGCAUUGCUCUAAAUUUAAAAAUUCUAAAGGCAGAAGAAUUGAUUCCUUAAUUAACCGUUCAAUUCUCCCCCUCGAAAUAUGGCCUAAAUGACAGUGCCAUAAUUUUGAAGAUACAUCAUCAAUUCUUUUCCGCUUAUUCUUUACAUUCAUAAACGAGGAGGCAUUCACAUUCUCAGUGCUUACAACAUUCACAUUCUCAUAAAGUAAUAAUAAAUAAAGCUCGUCUCGUCUGAAGGCAAGACCAACAAUCUUAUUAUUAAACUUGAUUUUACAUUGUCCAUCACCGAAAUGACAAGCAAAACCAUCAUCAUCUAAGCGCGAUACACUUAUUAAGUUUCUAUGCAAAGAGGGUACAUAAAGAACAUUUCUCAAAUGAAGUACAAAACCAUAUGCUAAUUCUAAUAGGAGUUCUCCAAUGGCUUCGACUUCAGCUUGGAUGCCAUUUGCAACUUUAAUGCUUCUAUCUCCUGUUUGCAGAGCCCUCCCCGUAUGGAAUCCUUGUAAUGAAUUUGCAACAUGAGUAAUUGCACCUAAAUCAAUCCACCAAUUAGAUUUUGCAUAACUUAAAUACAAGGACUCAUCUACGAAUCUAUUAAGGUCCUCACCUUUCUUACAAAAUGCUUUAGGAACUCUACACAAUCCUUCUGGUAGUGUCCCUUGUUCUUGCACCACUUGCAAGUGUCCUUGGCCACCACCACUUUAUGGUUUGAUCUUUGAUGGUGAUCAUACAUUGGAGCCUUUCCAUGUGCCUUAGAAGAAGAGGUAUUGUUCCACUGAGGUUUCCCUUGUGGCUUAGAAUUUUUGUUCUGAUAAUUCCUCUUCUUGUUUUGGCUCAGGUAAUUGACAGUAUCACCAGAUGAGCCCUUAACCCUUUCUUCUUCUUGCACACACAUGGCAAUCAUCUUCUCAAUACCCCACUUUUCUGGCUGUGUGUUGUCAUUCAUAGCAAAAGUCUCAAACUCUUUGGGCAGGGAGGUAAAGACCAGAUGGAUUACAGACUCCUCUGGGAGCUCCAUGUCCAUAGGCUUAAGUUUGGAAGCCAUAUUGGUCAUUCUCAAUAUGUGUCCCUUAUUCCACCGCCAAUAUACUUCAUAGUAACACGCCUCCUAAUAAGAGUGCUUGCAUAUGCCUUUGAAGAGACAGUAAACUGACUCUCCAGCUUUCUCAGGUACUCCUUGGUUGUGUCACACUAUGAGAUUGCUCCCCUUAUUGACUCCAAAAUGGAGCUCUUAAUCACCAUGAUGCACUUUCUUUUUGAAUUGUCCCACUUUGCACGAUCAAGAUCAUACUACAUUCUAAUUGGUGCUUAAUCAUGCACCCUUUUAUUGAAAUCAUCUUCACUCUCAUUCUCGGCCCUCACAGGGUCCUUAGGAGCUAUGGGACAAGCGCUAUCUCGACCUUCUCCCGCCAUGAUCUAUAAUUCCCUCCAUUGAGGGGCUCUAUGGACGAGAUGUAGCUCAAAGGAUUGUCUGAAUGCAAAAAAAUUUAGAAAAAAAAGUUCAUUCAACGGUUGGUCGAACUAAAACAUAAAACUUCUCAUCAUUAGUUCCAUAUCACCAUUGGGCAGAAAUAGAAUCAACAAUGAUAAAACCAAACUUAUCAGUACAACAAUUUUAUCAACAAUGUUGGUUAGUAGAUAAAAUUACCAUACUCAGAAAAAAUACUUAUUUUCUAAUUAAAUUUUUCUGUUGGUUCCAAUUUAAUUAGAGAAAUAGACUAAAAACUUCAACUUAAUGCUUAAAGGUAGCAAAAUAAAGCAAAAAAAUCAACUUAACUUAAUCUUAAUAUAGCGGAAGCUAAAACUUAAUUUGUAAAUUUUACCCACAGGAAAAACUCCUUAAAACUAAUUUUAUUUGAGCCACUAAUAUAAUUUCCAGGAAAAAAAAUUUGCUGGAAAACAGAGGGCUCAAACUCUUCUGUUCUUCCGGCCUGACCCACACAGCGGCUUGGUCCAUCUUGGCUCGCGCUUGGCAAAAUAGGCCCAAUGCGCACACUGCAAGACCGUAGCCCAUCUGGCCCUCUUUCUAUCACUUGGAUGCUGUGGCCCUGCUGGCACACGUGCUGUGGCUCGACCUACUUCCGCUAACGUGCGCUCAUGGCUUCCCAGGCCGCAACCAGGCCUGGGUCGCCAAAGCACCAUCCCGCCUAGGCUCAAUCUUGGUCCAGCUGAACUGUGUUGUCGGAUGGAGAUUGACGGUUCUCCGGUUAUUUCGCCAGCUCAUAACUAGUAGCACGGCCAGCUCCCCCAAACUGUAACUUCCUUUUCCUUCUUCCACUGCUGCAACAGAGUGAGCGAGUGGCGGGGAGUAGUCGUGCGCCGGUGCGGUGGAGUGGCGGAGCGUGGCCUCGGGAGCGCCAGCGAGCGGCACGUUGCCCGGCCCGAGGGUUCCCCUCGGCAAGCCCCUUCAGCGGUUGGUGAAACCAAGAGAUGGCACCGCCACCGGUCCCCUCUCCGGUGCGCGCGCUCGCCCUAGGGUGGGCACCCCCGGCCGCCGAUCAUUCUUCUUCCCGGACGGAUCCGGUGAGUUCUCUCUUCUUCUUCCUUCUCUCUUCCCAGAGUGAGUCUGAUCUAGGGUUAGGGUUCUUACUUGCUACCGACGGCCGUCAAUCCAAGAUCCGGUGGCAGUCGUCUUGUGUCUUGUGGCGGAGCGCCGCUGGCGGUCAUCAGUGGAUCCAGUGAACGCUGCUCGUCUAAAAAAAAUUUCUGAAAAAUUUCUAAUUCAUCUCCUUCUAAAUGCUUCUACCCCGACUAGAUCUACGUACUAGUGUGGUUCUAAUACCAUUGAUGGAUUUACAGGAACUCUAUAAGCAAAUCUAGUGGGUUAAAACUUUUUCUUUAGAUGAAAACAAUGACCUAAAAUCUAGACAGAGACAUCUGAGAGGGGAAGAAAGAGAGAGAGAGAGUAGAGUGGAUCACAACCAUCAGGCUUCGUCGAUGAGCUCGCCAUGAUGGUGAAGACGGUGUUGACAAUGAUGGUGGUGGCGGUGGCGCGAGGAGUUGGCGGAGCUUCGCACCACUAACAGCGCAAAGUAGAAUGGGUACUAGGUUUGUUGGUGGGUCUGGUGGGCACGGCAUCGAACUUGGGUUUUCGUGCCCCCGGCCCCCACCCUGUCUUUAUAGCGCUGCGUGACGGGGGCCCACCAAGCAUAUUCGAUUGAGCACCCCCGAUCAGGGUGCGAUCAAGGACUCCAACUCGGUCGUUGGAUCGAGCUGGACGCGAUCAAUACUAACAAGAAGAUGGCACGCAACUCAGUCGAGGGGCUCCGCUGUGGCACCGGUGUCGGUGGGGCAUGCUGCGACUCCAGCGUGCGCAAGGCAUGGUGGCUCCGCAGGUUCGGUGAUGACAUCGGCGGCCAAGAUGACAGUGCACUAGCUCCUAAUCCUGCAGCCCUCACUAUGGCGCUGUCGUGUGCCCUCUCGUCGAUGCUUGCAUGCAAGAAGCUCGCGCACAGCUCCGUCGAGGGGCUCCGCUGCAGCAGCCAUGUCGGCAGGGCAUGUUGCGGCUCUAGUGUGCCUAAGACAUAGUGGCUUAUGCCUCACUAAUGCAAUCGAUUGAGGAGGAUGAGGAUGUCCAUGUGCAGCAGCAUUCAAGCCAUGCACGAUCGCCAACCAGGUAAGUCCUAGGAUUAGUGUUUGGAUCUGAUUUGGGGAUUUAUUUGGAAUUCGAUUUAUGAAUUCACUCAAAUUUGUUUUUUCUUUUAUAAAUAUGAGAAUCUUUGGAUUCCUCUUCUACUUGUUGAUGAACUUUCAAUACAGUUGCGGAGCGGAAGGAUGGAAGGGGCAGUGGUGGCGGGAAAGUGGUCCAGCGAUGUAGGAUGACGACAAUGCCACUGAGAAGGUGACGGUGUUUGGGGAUAGACCACGGAGGCGGCCGAUGGAGAUUGAGGGGCGGAGGUGGCAGGGAAAGAUGUGAGGGGCGAUGGCAAGUUUGUGGUUGGUGGAAAUCGAGGGGCAGCAUGUGACAUUGCUAGAAUUCAAAAUUGCAAAAUAAGAAUUCAAAAGGGUAAAGCAAGAGAAAUUAAGAAGAAAUUUUGGGACAAAUCAAAGUUACAAAAUGCCAAACCCCAUAACCCUUCAAAUUUCCUAAGGGUUGAAAAACACCCUAGAAAGCACUUAAUUGGGGUAGGAGUUAAAAUAGAAACUCAUACGUAAAAUCAACUUUUAGCCAAUAUAAAUGUUGUAGAACUUUUCAAACUAAACAAAUUUUGUUAUUUGCACUUCCUUUGAUUUUGAGUGGAAGGCACUCAAAAUAUGGACCGAAGUUUGGUAAAAUUCAAAUUUAUUUCAAAUUCACCUUUGGCCAGCUUUCUAUCGAUUUUCAACCAAGUCUAUUUCCAAAUCUGGCAUGAUUUUUACCUGGUAGCCUUUGUAAAAUUUGUAGCCCGUAGUUCCAACUUAAACUUUUGUAUUUGAACUUUUCAAAGUUUAGUUCCAAAAUAUGGAGCAAUUUUGCACCAAAACUGCUGCCCUCGCCCACCACCCGCGUCGCCAACCUACACCGGAUCGGGGUGAUCUCGCACGGCGCACCGCCCGACACCACAUCGCGCCGCUCGGUCAACCCUCGCUGGCGACAAGAAAAGUCAUGCCCGGCGCUCGCCCAACCCGCGCGCGCUUAUCCUCCCCUGGCAUGGCAUAUCCCGGCCGGCCAACCCACGGCCAUGCACGCUGGCGCACCGGACGCCACCCGGUCACUCCCCGUGUGCUGGCUGGCUGACCUCCGCCACUCGGCCAAUUGCCGCCUAUGAUAGGAUGGGACAACCUGGCCUUCGCCCAGUCUUCGGCUAUGCUAUCUUCUCCUCUCCACGCCACAAUCUCCUUUGGCCAACCACAACACGCAGCCCACACGCGCGAACGCUGCACACCACCGCUGGCCUCUCUCGGCGCGCCUCUGCUUGCCGCCUCUGUCCGACCAUUGUCCUCUCACCCAACCGCGCGGUGAGCGCACGCUGCACGUCGCCAACUCGCUCACACUCUUUUGCCACUAUAAAAGGGCAAUGCUCAGCUCACCGGUGUGGCAGAACCACCUAGAUUAACCUGGCUAAAGUGUACUCAACAUCACCUCACAUGCGAACCGACACUUAAAUCAAGUUAAAAUGGUAGUCUGUUGGGUUAUACCCGAUAAACCACUUGUCUCGGAUCAAAAUGAAGGCGAGUCUAGAGAUUACAACAUUCCAGUAGUUUAAUACAUAGGUCCCACUUUAUUUAUUACAUCACAGUAGUUCAAAAGUGCGUAAAGUGAAUUGUUCAAAGUUUAAGCAAUGAAAAAAGGAUGGUAACUAAAUGUCAAAGCAGAAACAUCAUGGCAAAGCCAACCAUGACGUCAAUUACCAUGAUCCUCGCCGACCGAGGAUGGGUCCCACUCGACUGUCUAACCUGGAGGGAGAUGGGUCAGCCAAGUCACACUUUCAGCAAAAGCACUAACAUCUAAGUUACCUGAAAGUAAAGCCACAAGCAAGGCUGAAUAUACUAAUACUCAACAAGACUUACCCAUCGGGUGGUAACUACUCUACUGACUUCUAGACAUGCAGGGCUUUUUGGCUGAGGGAUUUGUUUUGCCAAAAGCUUCUAGAGUGGAUCCUUACUUUCAAGUUUUAGCAACAGGUUCUAGUUGAUUAACCAUUCUAGGUAAGCGCCUAUUCUAUGCAAGAAUGUUGAUCAAACAUUUGAUUCCAAGCAUCAUCGUUAAAAUAAUCAUUCUCUAUUCCACUUGUUACUCAGUGCAGCAUAGCAGUCAAGCAGUCUCAAGCUGUGAGAGGCAGAUGAUUCAAAUCGAGUUUUCAAACCUUGCAAGGUGUACCUAAUCCCACGAAGGGUCCACAAAUGUCAGCCGUCCCCAUCAAUUCCCAGGCACAUGGCCACGGCCCACUCCAUCGGGUACAAGGCCUCACGGUCCCGGAAUGUCACCGUACCAUGACUGCACUUCUAUCCACAUGAUGCAUCAGGGGAACUUACCAUGACUGCACUUCUAUCCACAUGAUGCAUCAGGGGAACUUUGUUCCAGAGAUAUUGGGGAGUAUGCCCACGUCUUGGUUCAAUCAGAUACUAGUCUUCCUUAUCCCAUACUAGGUAUGAGAUUAGUACUUUCAAACACUUGACCACGAGCACCGUCACAUUUCAGCCUUAGCACAUUUAUUACUAGACAGAUAGGGCAAUUCCAUCGAGUCAGAACUAAAGCCCAGCCCCACCCAUCAUCCUUAUGGUUGUAGUAAAAGUAAGCAAGCAACUCCUAUAACUCGUGAGUGAUAGGAAAUCACUAGACUUUUACCGAUUCCCUAUUUAGCAUAGCAACUACACGACUUAACAUACUAGUAUUCAGCACAUAGGUACCUAGGAUCAUGCAACUAAGGUUUCAAGCAACUCCUAUGAAUUUAAAUGCACAAACAUAAGUAGCAUGGAUAUUGCAUGAAAAUUUAAAAUCAAGGUUAUGCUCCGAGGCUUGCCUUCCUAUUCUAAGUUAGUAAAGAGCUCGUUGGAAGCCUAGCAAGGAUCUUGAUUAGCCUCGAAUUGAUGCAACUCUGCAGGUGCCUCCUUGGUCUGAAGCAGCUCGUAAGUUCCGUCCACAAGAUUCGCUUCGACACGAGAUGCAUAUGCAAAAUUCAAGUUUCACGAUUUUUUUACGAGCAUGAUGGAUUCAUAAGAUUUUGUAGCGUAUAAGUUUAACAUGUGACCAACUCAAGAUUUAAAUUGAGUUCUUUGUGAAUUAAAGUAUUUUACGAUUUAAAUUUAAGGUUGAUUUUGAUGGUGAUUGUGUACACAUAUAUAAGGUUUUAGAAACUUAGAUUUCACAAAGAAAGGGUGGGGUCACUUUAGGGUUGCUCAAAACUCAUUUGGAAAGUUAUCCUAUUUCUGAAUGUUUAAACAACUCAAACUAUCAUAUUUAAGUGCAUUUAACUACAUGCAUUUAUUUGAGCAAGGUAAAACAUGUAGCAACCAGAAGCUAGUAUUUUUCCAAGUUAAACAAAGGCAUCAAGAACCUAACAAAAGUGAUUUUGCAUUUUUAUCUAUUUUCUUCCAUUUAUAGAGCAAAUAACAAGAUCACACCUAGCAUUACAAGGUUUGCCUUAAACCAGUGUGUUCAGCACCUAAACUAGUGUCACAAAAUUCAUAUCUAGAACAAGCAUGACACAAGUGCUCUAACAGAGGUGGAUGUACAUUUUUACCAUUUUUGUAUGAUUUAUGGGGCAUUUAUGUGCUUAAACCAAAAAUAAAAACCUAAGGGAAAAACACAAUAGUAACAUGUCCAAAACCAUUUUUCUGUAAAACUACUCACAUUUUUAGCAUUUUUCUACACUUUCUUAUGCAUUUUCAAAGUUUCAGCCGAUUUAAACCAAAAUAAAAUAGAAAAGAGAAAACACGUUUCACAAGAGGGUCCCUCAAAGUUUUGAACUAUUACAAACAGGUCAUGCCAUUUAACACUAAGGACCUUGGGGUUUUUCAGGGGCUCGCAAUUGAGUCCCUGGCCGGUCGGCGGCUUGCUGGUGGAAUUCUUGGCGAGCAGCGGCGCUAAGGGGGAAAAGGAUGGCUCGGGCGCGUCGAGAGGCUCACCUCGAGCCUGUGGAGUGUACAAGUUGUGGAUGGAGGGUGGCCGGAGAUGCAGUUCCACGACGAGGUGUGGGCGGUGGAGGAGAAGGUUCUUCUCCGACGCCGCGAGGGUGGAGAAGGGCAGGCCAAGGCUCAGUGGGUUGUGAUGAUGCUCAGGAGGGGCUUUGGUGGGCUUUGGAGGUAGCAGCAUAGCUCAGAAGGGGGAGCUCCACAGCAGGGUGCUCUAGCGGUGCGUUGAGAUUCUGGUAGAGGGGACGAAGGCGGCGGGGUACACCGGCGAUGGCCCUCGGGCUCCUUUUAUAGGCGCGGGAGAUUAAGGAGGAGAUAAGGAUGAGCGGGGGUGCUCGAGCUACGGCUGGAGAGCAUGGGCACAAUGGGGCAUUGGCACGCAGAGCAGUGGCGGCGACAUUGGGCAGAGGCGGCGUGUGGCACGCGGGGUGAUCGCCGGAGGUUGGCCGGGCAGGAUAUGGGUGUGAUUCUGCCCCUUUGCUUCGCGCGCUGAGUGGUGGAGGCGGCGAGCGUGUCCAGUCCUUUCACCAGUGGCAUGGGCCGGUGGGAGAGCCAAGCGGAGGCGGCGGUGUGGCGGUGGUGCAUGCGGGCGUGGGCAAAGAAGCACGGCGGCGACUGGGCGAUGGAGAUGUGCGGCAGGGGGUCAGGAUAUGCGCGGGUGGGGGUUGGGCAAACGGCUGGGACGAGUUGUCCUUUCACGACUGGUGAUUGGCUGGAACAGCUACACUGACAGGGUGGCACCAUGUGGCAUGCCACGGCGCGCCGUUCGUGAUCACCACGAUCGUGGGCACGUGGCAGGCGCGUGGCAUGCGGGGCAGCAAGAUUUGGGGAGAUUUUGCGCAAAAUUUUCAAACCAAACUUGAAAUAGUUCAAAACUAAAAGUUGUUGUACACAUUUCAAACUCCUACUCUUAGAAAGAUUUCAAUUCAAAACUGUUUUAUAUUUGGUGAUACAAGCCAUCAAAGUUUGAAGGAACGCCUGUUUUCAGGACUUAGAGCAAUUUUGAAAAGAAUUUGAAUUUGGCUGAACGUUGACUUGAAUUUUGAAAGUGUUCCGGUCCAAACUAGAAAAAGCUCAAAUAAGAAAAGUUGUUUGUUUUGAAACGUUCUACAACUCUUAUAUUGGAAAAAAUUGGAGUUGUUAUAUAAAAUUUGGAAUUAAAAACUGCCCGCAAAAAGUGCCUUUUUAGGGUAUUUUGUUAAUUUCAGUGUUUGAGUGUCAAUUUCAACUUUACUCUUUGGGAUUUUUGGCAUGCUUGCUACAAUUCAAACAUAGUUUGAGUGUUUUUCAAACUUACCCCUUUGUUUGACUUAGUUUUGUUCAAAUUAGCCCCUAUUUGUAAUAUUUCAUUUGUUUAAGUGCAUUGCAUUUUCAACUAUAGCAAGGUUUAUGUCCUAAGUGCGAAUUGUAUCCUUAACCAUUCUAAUUAGCCUUUCAACAUGCACCCUUAAACUAGGGUUGUUACAGCCAGUGCCACCUUUCACCGCCCCCACACGAAAACUCUGCCGCCGCCCGUAGCGCCGCCCAUGGAACCCUUCCCUCUAAGCACCUCCGACCGCCACUUUACCUUCCCAACACCGCUCCCGGCCAUCCCCGUCGCCACCUUGCCGGAGAUGACAAGCCCUCACUGCGCCUGAGAGCUCAUCAUCGAUCGCCGCCGCCAGGCCUCCUCCGCCCACGACUUCCACAGCCCGCCGACCCUCGGUGAGCCCCUCAACUCACCCGUGCCCCUAGCUCACCCUCUCCCCACCGGAGCGCCGCCGGCCGUGCCCCAAGGACCACAUUGCAUAGCCCCAAAUCUUCCCAGGGUGUUAGGUGUAAGAUGUAAGGGCCCAGUUGUGACGCUUUAAAAGAUCCAAGGGCCUAAGUGCGAAACGUGUUUUCCUUGUUUGGUUUAAAUUUGUUUUAAAUAACUAAAACUUGGGAAAUGUCUAGGAAAAUGUAGAAAAAUGGGAAAAAUAUGAAACUUGUUUUGCUAGGUUCCUGGUGAUGCCUAGUUUAAUUUAAAAAUGGUCAUAUGCAUGUUACUGUUUGUAUCUGACGCUAGAAUUUAUUUUGCAUAAAAACAAAUAAAUGCCUUAUAACUCAUAGGAUGCUCUGAAAAAUGUGAACCCACUUUUUUUAGUUUCCUUUUGACAUGCAUGUUCAGGAUCUCUAAGUUGUGCUACUAGAAUCCCUGAUGUUCAUACUAUUUUAAUUUCAAAUGCUUAAUUGCUUUUUUAAUCUGGUUAUUUGCACAAUAAAUAGUGGAAAAUAGAUAGAAAUUCAAGAUAAAUUUUGUUAAACUCUUGAUGCACAUGUCUAACUAGGAAAAGUAUUUUCUUCUAUAAGAUAUGUGUUUUACAUUGCUUAAGUAAAUACAUGUGGUUUAAUGUCCUUUUUAUGUGAUAAAUAGUUUUCAUGCUCAGUAAACCCUGAAAAAUUUACAGUAGCAUAUGUUAGUGUUGGUAACCCUUUUGUAAAAUUUGUGGAUCCAGGAUAUUAAUGAAACUCUAGUUAAAAAUCAUUCUUCAUGUUUUAUAAGUUAACACUGUUUGGUUUUUAUUAAAUGUGGUAGAAGUCAAAUGUAUCUUCAAUUUUUAGAGAAGAUCACUUGUGCCGAGGGGAAGCUUCUAUAAAAAUUUCAUGAUUAUAUCUUAACAGAUGCUUCCAUAAAUAUUUACUCAUUUUAAGAGCUAGUUUAAAUUAAUAAUAAUAAUUGCUACUAGAAAUGGUAAACUAGCCAAUGUUUAAAUUCAAAAAUAGGAUAACUUUCAAAAUAAUUGUUAGACAGUACCAGAAUGACCCCACCUUUCUUUUAUGAAUUCUAUGUUGUUAAAAUCUUAUAUGUGUACACAAUCACCAUCAAGAUAAAACCUAGGUUUUAAUCACAACCCACCUUGUUUUGCGAAGAAAAGUUUUGUUAAAAUCUUGUCUAGGUGAAUGUGGUCAAAAUGCACCCUAAGCUUUUACAAUGUUCGCGAAAUGCAACCUACACCCUGAAAGUGUGUAAUUGAAAUCUUAAGCAUAUGCAUCUCGAGAAGAAGCUAAUCUCAUUGACGGUACGUACGAGUUGGUUCCGGAAGCUGAAGAGGAACACUCGGCCGCUGCGGUGAACUUGAUCGAGGCCACACAAGACCCGAGCCAAGCUUCGGAAGAGCCAUAGGCUAGCGUAGUACAAGAAGGCAAGCCCUGGAUCAUAACCUUGGUUUCUAAAAUUAUGCAAUAUUUUUGUUACUUAUGUUUGUGCAUUAAGUUCAUAGGAGUUGCUUGAAACCUUAGUUGCAUGCUCCUAGUACCCCAUGUGUUGAAUACUAGCAUGAUAAGUUGAGUAGUUUCUAUGCUAAAUAGGGAUACGGUAAAAGUCGAGUGAUUUCCGAUCACUCGCAAGCUAUAGGAGUUGCCUAUUUACUUAUGUUGGAAUCAUAAGGUUGAUGGGCAGGGCUUGGUAUAUGUUUUGGAAUUGGUGGAUGCCCCGUCUGUUUAGAGGAAAACUGCUAAGGUCGAAAUGUGUUAGAGUUUUGGUCAAGUAUUUGAAAGUACUAAAUACAUACCGAGUAUGGGAUCAGGAAGCCUAGUACCUGAUUGAACCAGCGUGGACCUUUUCCCCGCUCUCUCUGGAACUAGGUUCCCUUGAUGCAUCAUGUGGGUACAAGUGCAGCCUCGGUACAGCCUCGUCCGGGACCGGUGGGGCCUUGUAUCCAAGGGAAGUGGGCUCUGGACAAGCGUUGCAAAUUGAUGGGAACCGCUAAUAUAUGUGAACCCGUAGUGGUAUGCAUAUGUUGUGUGUUUAGGUCCACCUUGCAAGGUUAAGAAACUCGAUUCAAAUUGUCUACUUCUCAUAGUUUGGGACUGCUUGAUCGCCUUUCUGCACUGAGUAAGAAGAGGAGCAAAGGUUGAUGAUUAAUAUGGAUGCUUGAUUAAUUUUCUUGUUUCAUUAUGCUUGCUCAGAAUUGGUGCUUAACUAGAAUGGUUAAUCAACUAGAACUUGAUGCUAAAACUUGAAAGUAAGGAUCCACUUUAGAAGCUUUGGUAAAAAAAAACCCCUCAAUCAAAAAGCCUUGCAUGUCUAGGAGUCAGUGGAUUAGAUACCACCUGACGGGUAAGUCUUGUGGAGUAUUAGCAUACUCAGCCAUGCUUGUGGCUACGUUUUUAGGAAAUGAUGAUUUUGAGGAUAUGGUUACCAAUGCGACUUGGCCAUCUCAGCUCCCUCUGGGAUGGACGGUUGAGUGGGACCCAUUCUUGGUCGGCGAGAAUCAUGCUGAGUGAUAUCAUGGUAGGCUUCACCAUGGUAUUAUGUAUCGUUGUUAGAACAAUCAUUUUAUUUUUCCGCUGCUAUGAACUCUAAACUACUCUUUUAUGCAUUUGAACAUCCGAUUUGUAAUAACCUAAUUUGGGACCUGUAAUAUGUUAUCUGGAUUGUUGUAAUCUCUGGACUCAUCUUCGUGCGAGCAUUGUAUGCUUGUUUCGAUCAGAAACACGUGGUUGUAUUGGCUGAAACCCGACAGACUACCAUUUUAAUUCGAUUAAAGUGUUUAUUCGCAUUUGAGGCGAUGUUGGGAACACUUUAGCCGAGUUAAUUUGGGUGGUUCUGCCACACGGCGGCGGAGGGGAAGGGUGCAAGGGGUGGGUGCGGUGAUGAAGGACGAUCAAACAUAGGUGGAGGGACUUUCGUGUGUGCAGGGUACGCUCCAGGGCGGGCUGAGGUUUGGGGAUCAAUCGUAGGGUGCACAGGAAUCGAAGUCCGCAUCUUCUAGCGACAGAGGGCUAUGGUUUGAUAGAGUGUGGGAUGAUUCAGACGGAUGGCGAAGAUGUACGACGUUUGUUCGCCCUCCUGCAUUUUUAGUACACAUGAUUCAACAAUACGCUAACCUUAUAUGUCAAUAUUUCGAAUAGGCAAACUCGACAUUGCAUGAAGAUCCGAUAUUAUUUUUUACUUCUCACGCUACCUUACCUAGAUUUUUCCACAUGUGAUACAUUCUUA
This 57555-nucleotide long non-coding RNA is filed under the name Setaria viridis. RNAcentral describes it as "long non-coding RNA (SVIR_LNC000712)". The record is from RNAcentral. Lineage: Eukaryota; Viridiplantae; Streptophyta; Magnoliopsida; Poales; Poaceae.